This 55097-nucleotide long non-coding RNA is filed under the name Vitis vinifera (wine grape). RNAcentral's name for it is "long non-coding RNA (VVIN_LNC003679)". The record is from RNAcentral. Lineage: Eukaryota; Viridiplantae; Streptophyta; Magnoliopsida; Vitales; Vitaceae.
GGGAGAGGGUGGGUAGAAAAGACUUUCUUCUAGCCAAGCUUGAGCUGAUAUACUGGUGUAUGCAAACAGCGGACUUCUUAUCAUUAAUGAAAAGCAUUUACAAUUAUACAAUCUCUGACCCAAAAAAAAAACCAUGAAAAAUGGAUACAUCAUGGGAUAAUGUUGAAGGUACUACAAGAUCUCAAAUGUUGUUGAGGUUACCUCAAGUCUCUAGGUUGUCAGACAUAGAACUACCUAAUAAGUACCAUUUUUUUAAUUGCUCUUGAAGCAUCCAAGAGACCAAAAAAAGAAAAAAAGAGAGAAUCUGACGUGGACCAAGCCAAGAGUUUUCUUUUGGUCAUCCCAUGUUUUUUGGAAGAAAGCUCCAAACAAUGAGUAUAAUCAGCACAUCAGAUGUGAAGUUCCAUGAUAAAUGGCGAAAAUAAAGCAGGCCUAAGAAGACUGACAGGCAAAGGAGGUUGUUCAUGCUCACCGCCCCAUAUAUCUGCAGUAAACAAUUCAUGUAGAGCUACAAAUUAGAACGUCAUAACUAGAACCGAAAAGUCACCACGUUCAAAGUGCAAGGGGAGAGGCAAACCUUUGAAAAUGUUAAAGAAAUCCUCAUCUUGUUUUGGCUGGCAAACAUUAGAGCUGCCACUGCCUCACUGGAGAUGGCGAAAGGCAGAACAGUAAAUGAGACAAGGAAAGAAGGAAUGUUUGUAUCAGUGGAGAAGUUGCCGACAGCAUUGAUAAGAGAAUCAGCAAAUGUAGCAGCUAUCAGAGAUCCCAAAAGCAGCAUCAGCACUGCUUUAGAGGCACUCCAUUUGGGGUUUUUGAUCUUUGCAACCUCAUCACUCUGAACACCCAGCAGUUCAUGCUCUCUGUUUGCCGCCUGCAAAUACAUUAAAAUGUUACAACACUAACAGUAAGGAUUCAAUCAGGACUGGACAAAGAAUAACACGGCAUUGAUAGCAUACCAAAUUGAAGUGGUCUACAACUAGUCUUGUCUUCAAAUCAUUGUCACUGGAACAAGCUGCUGAAUUCUUACUACGCCAUUUUGAGAUUUCUUUGAUAAACACAUCGAUAUUAAUUUUAGAAUCCCCACAUGAAUCAAAAUCUCUCAUUACUUCUCCAACAUCAUCAUCAAUGGCUGAAUCUUUGUCUUUAAUCGGGAAUCCUGUUAUCAGUGCUCUUAACUCACUAGCAGAGAUCAACUGAUCUGAAUUCUCUCCAAUCACCUCAUAUAACCUUCUCAUAUCUUCUACAUCAGGUUCAUCAUUAGCUGUUAAGAGCCUUCCCAAUGAACAACAUUUCAAUUUUUUUUCAGUUCUAGGCAUAAUAUGCUUGGGGUUUGCAUAUGUAAUUCUUCUUUUCAAAAUAGAAGGGUGAAAGACCUGCAACAAUAUUUCAUUUGAAAGUUACGGAGAAGGUAGCAUAAGAAAACGUUUGGUUAUUGAAAAUACAAAAUAUGUCAAUAAGAAGCAAAAUUUGAGUUCAAGUGGACAAAUACCUGAUAAAGGCAAUAUGCAAGCAAUAAAGAAACAGAGAUAAUGAGUGAAAUCAAGACCACUAAGCAAAUCGGUGAAGUCCUGUUGAGAAUUUGUGAUAGUUGGAUUAUUAUGAAUGGCAUGACAGAUUUGACCAUGAUCCUCGCAGUAUAGCUAGCCCUGACGUUAGUACUAAGAGCUGAACCUGAAAAUAGAAAUGAAGGAAUAUGCAUUAUGUACUGCUAGGAUAAUAAAAUUUCAUGGUUUAAAAUUUCAAAGCAAUCCCUGUUGAAAUCGAAAUAGUUGAAGUAAUUGAAGAGUAUAGUGAAGUACCAUCUAUGAUGUAGCAUCCCCCUAGCAACAUCAGAAGCAUAGCAGUUGAUCCAGUUAGCAAACCGAUCCCAGCUGACACCUUAUCAUUUUCAGCAGUUUCUGUGUUCCCACAUAGCCUGGAUGCUUCAAAAUGCCGACAACAAAGCAUUCCAUCAGUGUGCAUAAAAUAAUCAGAUUACAAGGUGGAUGUUUUGGAAUAUUCUGGAUUUUUUUUUUUUUUUUGACUAAUUUGGAAAUUUAAGUCGAUGGUAUUAAUUAGGUCCGGGAAAUGGCAACUGCUGAAGCAAGAGUGAGAAGGUUCCCGUAAUGGAAAAAUCAACAAAUGGGUUGAGAUAUGGAACCGCAAGUUCUAAAGAAGGGAUAAAUUUCAAGAGACAUAUUGGUUUAAAUCAAUCUUACCAAAGCUGAUAAUAGCAUCAAGAAGCGAGCCGAGCAGAGGUAGAAAAACCCCACCAGAAAUUCUAGGACUAACAACUUCCACCAGAAUUUCACUCCCAUCAUACAAGAGCUUGGCUGCAAACAACAUCAAUGAAACAUACACAAGCAUAAGGAAUAUGUUUCCAGGCACGGUGGUGGUGCAUGGCAUGAAUCCAAUCCUCUGGCUAUAGCUGCUAUCUGAUGAAGGCCAGUGCUCAAAAACAAUAAAAUCUGGUUGCUGAACCUCUCCAACUCCAUCAGAAACGAGCGCAAAGGAAGAAUUAGCUUCAAUAGUAAGUGCACAAUAUCCUGGAUUAACUAGCAUGACAAGAAUCAUUGCUACAAAAAGGAGUUCAUGUUUCGUAGCCAUUCUUUAGCUUGCCUUAGGCCAAUAUGCCCUACUAAUAUAUAUAUAUAUAUAUAUAUAUAUAUAUAUAUACACGUUAACUAGUAUACUGUCCGUAUGAUUCAGGGGUCCACUCCAAGUUUGGCUAAUACCAUUUCAAAUGUUUUAUUUGCAAAUUUUAUGAUUAUUUUAACUCAUGACUUUAUUGUCUUGGUCACGUGUUAAUUGGAACAUUAUGAGAAGGCGCGUGAAGUAGUUAGAAAACAAUGUGGAGUCGUGGACUGUGGACUGGUCAUUUUCUGAAAAUUAUCAUGUCCCCAUGAAUUUUAUUCAAUGCGCGUAAAGUAGGUAGAAAGCAGCGCGAACGGGGACUGGUCACUCUAAAAUCUUAUGCCCAUCAGCCAUGUGAAUUUUAUUUGAUUUUCAAAGCAACGUGAUAUGUUUGCUGCAAAGAGCAUAUGAAUUUUAUUUAUACUAAAAAAUUUCAUUCCAAAGUCAUUCAAUAAGAUGUGGCUUGUCUCCAUAAUGGAGUACCGUAGAAUUAAUUGCUGCAAACGUUACAUUCUUGGCACGUUUCUAAUAAAACAAUUACGUGCCCAAGUUGCAUUAAUUUUCCCAUAAUUCAAGAUAUAUUGUUAGGGGAGAGUUUAAUUAUGUGGAUCCAAUGUGAAGGGAACAACAACUAUCAAGAAAAUUCAGCAAGGAAUGAGACAUCUUGUUGCUAGAUCAUGUUCUUAUGUCAUUGUUUGUGUACUUGGAAGCUAUAAUUCAUUUAUUGGUGUAAUAAUAUAGAGUUGAAGUUUAUCCAUAUGCUGAGGUAGAUUAGGUUGGAAUGUGGUUUGACCCAUAAGACAAAUAUCAAUUAAGUGAACUAGAUUCUAACAAUGAUAAAUACUCUAAUGAUCAAUUUGUUUGAUAAUUGAGUAAAACCCCUAUAAAAUAAUACUUUUAGGAUUAGAGAAAUUAAUAUCUUAGUGAGAUUAUUAAUUUAUAAAUAGUAUUAUGUUUUUAUUAUUCAAUACUUGUACAUAUAUGAUUUAUAAUUUAAAAAACAAUUGAUGUGAUAAAAAAAUUUAAUAAAUAAAAACGUAAAAGACUCUAAAAAAUAAAAAAUAAUUAUUAAUUGUAAAAAAUAGAAAAAAAACUCCUAAAAAUAAGAUAUGUAACAUAAAAAAGUUAUGCCCUAAAAGAUAUAAAGGUUUUUUAAAAGAUAGGAAAGUUUCAAGUAUUUGAUGAUUUCAAGGAGUAAUUUGAAAUAACCCGUAUUGAAACCAGAAGAUUUUAUUAUUUAACUAAAAUUACUAAUUUAUUGAAAACUUAUUUAUCAAAUAGUUGUCCUAUUUUGUGUCUACUUUUUUUAUUAACAUAGUUAUGUAUUGAAGUUUAUAUAUGAUUAUGUGAUUGCUUUUAGAGUAUAUAUAUCAAUUUUUCGAGAUGACAAAUAGAAUUUUUUGAGAUAUUCUUUCUUUUGUAGGGAGAUUGCUUUUAGGAGUAUAUAUAUCAAUUUUUGGAGAUGAUAUUGCCUCACCUUUAAAGGCAAUCUCAUCAAAGAAACUUGCCUCAAUCAUAUAAGCCUCAGCUCACCCAAAUGGAGAAAUGAGGAAAGCUAUGCAUGGUAACAGGCUCACCAUUUUGGAAAGCCUUUGUGAAUUGAUGCAUUCAUGGUGGUAUAACAUUGUGCUAACAUGUUACCAAGCUUUUGCCUCUACCACAUGUAACAAAAAGAUCAAGAAUAAUUUGUCCCUUGGUUAAGUAUCUUCCAUAGGUAAAGCCUACGAUUCAAUAGGCUGAGGAAGUAUCCAAUCAAGAGAUGUCAAUCACUUGGAAAAUUGAGAAGGAUAUGAUGUUGAAAGAGGCAGGCACCAUUGUCAACUAAAGCCUCGAUCAUCUCCACACAAUUGAUUGAAACGAAGAAGGUUUCCAUCCAUCGGUCUAGAUAAGAUCCAAUGGUCCACGACUCUAUAAGAAAGACAUUCCAAAAGGUAACUUGUGACUUUUAUUACAAGAAGAGAGUUGGAAGUCAAUUAUGCUAAUUAUCAAGAGAAGCUUUAGCACCAAAUAAUUAGGCACAUAGUAAGCUUGUGUUAUCUCCACUAUGUUUUGCCACUCGUAAACAUCAUUCUUGCUCUACAUGUGAAGUCGAUCUAUUGUAGAGAGAGUGUGUGAGUUACAAUUGUUGCCAAUCCCUUUGACUUGGCUCAUCUGAGGUUGACCAAAUCUUCCCAGUUAGAGAAAAGACCGGGUUAAGAGACAACGUGAUUUAUUUAAUUAUUAUUUUUUAAAUAAUUUGUUGUAGUCGUUCAACUUUUUAUGAAGAGUCCCCGUUAGACUUCUCUGCCUGUAAAUGCUCCCGCUUCUCAGAGUCCCUCUCAAGAUUUUUUAACUUAAACCUUCUCCCAUAACCUGACUCUUUUCUCUGCACAUAUUCCUGCAACUGCAUCCCACUACAGCACCUAUUCCAGCAGCCCAUUGUUUGUACCUGUUCCUGCAUCCACUAUUGCACCUGCUCCUACUGCCACUGUUGCACCUGUUCAUAUAGCCCGCUGUACCUACAACUGCUACAGCCCAUAGCCUGCAGCUGCUCAUUUGCUGCUUCUAUACUGCAGUAGGUUCAAUUACAUCCUCUGCAACGAGGUCUUUUGUAUCAUUGCACGGGUUGCAGUGAUGGUCUCCAAAAAGCCCGCGGCCCGCUUUAGGCCCGGCCCGGCCCAAGCCCGUUUUAUGGGCGGGUCGGGCCGCGGGCCGGCCCGGCCCUUAGGCCCGCCCCUUUAAAAAAAAACUACAAAAAUAAAAAGUAUUAAAAAAAAUAUUCAUUUCAAAAUUUUAUUCAUUGAAUUUAUAAUUACAUUUAAAAAUGUGGGAAAAGUUUACAUCACUAUAAAAUAAAUACAUCCCAACUAGGUUAACACCUAUUUAUUUGUCAAUCAUCUGUAUUUUUCGACCACAAAAAAUAAAAAUAAAAAUAUAAUAUACAUUUAGUCAUUAUUUUCUGACGGUGAUGGCGAACUAUCAUGCAUCCAUGAAGAUCUUGAUAAUUUUAAAGAUUCCAUAUCGGCAAACAUCUCUGUUUCUCGAAUGAAAUCGUACAUCAUUUUAUCUGCUAUUUCCCAAUCUUUCACACAUAUCCAUGCUUCAAUAACAUCUGACGCUAAGUUGCAUUGUUUUUUACUAACUAAUCUUCUACCUGCACUAAAAGCAGCUUCUGAUGCAACUGUACUCACAGGAACUGUUAGUACAUCACGAGCAAUUAUAGAAAGCACAGGAUAUUUGUGUUGAUGUGAUUUCCACCAUAUUAAAAUAUCAAAAUCUUCUUGAUCUUCAAAUGAAAUUAUUUCAGUAUUAAGAUAUUUAUCUAAAUCAGAUGUAUUAUUUGGAGAACUAUUUGUUGUCUUUUUUCGACUUUUCAACAUUUCUAGAGCUCCUUUAUAAAAAGAUGAGGAGUUUGUAGAUGUAGGUGGUAAUUUAAUACUAUUAAUAUUAUUACCAUAUUUUUCUUUAUAAUAGUUAUAUAAAUUAUGUAAUAAUGAAUUUAUUUCAUUUUUAAUUUCUUCAAUUUUUAUUUGGUCAUUAAAAUAAAUAAUUGUUAACCAUUCAUCCAAAGCUUCAAAUUUCAAUCUUGGGUCCACAAUUAAAGCAAUAUAAAAAAUUAAAGGUAUUUCCCCCCAAUAUUUUCUAAAUUUUUCUAUCAUUGCAAAUAUUGUAUCAUUAAAUAUUUCAAAACUUAAAUAUUUUUGAAGUACAAUAAAAAUAUUAGUUAUUUGCAUAAUAACUCGAUUUGAAGUUGGAUAAUAUACACCACAAAAAAUGUUUGUUGAAGUAUCAAAAAUUUCAAAAAGAUCUCUUAAAAGAUCUGCAAUAUACCAAUCAUAAUCACUUAAUGCAUAAAUAUCUGCUUCACAAUCAUUGUUAAGUAAUUGUAUUUCAUAUAAUUCGACUACUUUUCUAUAUUUUGUAAUAUUUUGUAAAAGUUUAUAUGUGGAAUUCCAUCUAAUGGUCAUAUCCAAAUUUAUAUUUUUUCUUUUCAUAUUUAACAUUUUGCAACAAUCAAAAAAUAAUUCAUGUUUUGCUUGAGAACUAUUAAUACUAUAUGCAAUGCCUCUAAUUUUUUCCAAUGUAUCAUCAACAUUUUUUAAUCCAUCAUUUACAAUUAAAUUUAAAAUAUGUGCACAACAACGCACAUGAAAUAUUUUAGCAUGAUCUUCUUUUACUUGCCAAUAUCGUUUUAGUCUAUGUAUUGCUGUAUCAUUAUUAGCAGCAUUAUCUAAUGUUAUUGUCAAUAUUUUAUCACGAAUGCCUAAAUCUAUAAUUUCAUCAUUUAUUAAAGAUGCUAUAUUUUUACCACUAUGUGGAGCAUUUAUUAAUUUAAAUGAAAUUAUUCUUUUAUUUAAUUUCCAUUCAUUAUCAAUGUAGUGAGCAGUUAUACAUAAAAAACCAGUGUGAGUUAAAGAUGUCCAAAUAUCAGAUGUUAAACAAAUAUUUCCUUCAAAAUUUGCAAAAAAAAAAUUUUUAAAUUUCUUUUUGUGUAUAAAUUUUUUUCAUAAUAUCUCUUUUAACUGUAUUUCCAGACCAACCUUUAAAUUGAGGAUUAAUACCUCGUUGAAUUGUUCCUACAAAAUCAUGAGUUUCCAUCAUGUUGAAAGGUUGUUAUGCUCUUAUUAUAUAAUCAAUCAUUUCUUCACGACAGUUAGAUUCAUCAUAAGAAAAUGUUUUUAAAUUUCCACUUUCAUUUUUACUUAAUUGCAUAUAAUUUCUAAUAUCUACAUUAUUUUUAGUUUUACAAUUUUCGUGAUGUCUUUUUAAAUGACUUGUGCCUGCAUUUGAGCCACCAGUAAGAAAUUUAUUACAAAUUUUACAUUUUGCUUUUAUUUCUUUUUUAUUAUUUUCUAAAAUUAUUUCUAUUCUAUCAAAAAAAUUCCAUAUAUUUGAAGUAAAUUUUUUGUUUGAUGAUAUUUCAUCACAUGGACUAGAUGAAGAAGCACUUGUUAUAUUAUAAUUAUUGAUAAAAUAUUAUGCCAAAAAUAAUAAAGGAAUAAAUAUAACAAAAAAAUAAAGUAGUAGGGGUGAAGUAUGUUACUCAAUUAGAGAACCGAUGCAGAAAUUCCUAGCAAAUUUGAACUCUUGGAGCCACCAAUGCUUGUUUUGCACCACCAACAAUAUUGUAUAAUUUGAGGGAAAAAUAAAAGAAUUUGAAAUAUUGUAGAAUGUGAGAGAAAUAGAGAGAAUUUGAUGAAAAAAUGAAAAGGAAGAACAUGUAUUUAUAGGAAGAUUUAAAAAAAAAAAAAAAAAUUGGCCAUGUGACCGUUGGAGGCUUAGCCCCAACGGUCACAUGACUCACAUGGGCUCACAUGGGCAGCUGGCUGGAGCUCCAACGGUCACAUGACCGUUGGAGCCUUUAAUUUUUUUUUAAAAAAUAAUAUACUUUAUUUUUAUAUAUAUAUAAUUAACUCAAUUAUUAAGCACAAAAGGAAUGUAGCUCAGUUGGUUAGAGCCUUGAUAUGAAAGCAUGAGGGGAGGGGUUCGAAUCCCCCCCUCUCCCUUCCUUUCUUUAAAAGCCAUUUUGGCUUAUUUAAAAAAGCCCACGGCCCGGCCCGCCAGCCCGCUAGCCCGCGGGCUCAUAGGCCGGGCCGCGGGCCUAACAUUUUUCCAUGGCCCGGCCCAGCCCGGCCCGUUGACCAGUCAACGGGCCCAUAGGCCCGACCCGAGCUGGGCCGCGGGCCUCCUAUUUACGGCCCGGUCCUGCCCGUUGGAGACCCUUAGGUUGCAGUCAUACCAAACCGAACCGAGUGCUGCACAUAUUUCUAGCUACCUGCAGUUAUCUUAUAUUGUCUUGCAUCCUUGCUCUUACCGUAUACAAGUUUGCAACCCUUUUAUGUUGUACACUUUCUUUUGGAGAAAUUACAAUUAUAUAAUUAUGAAUUGUACCGUGUCUCAUCAAAGAAAUGAAUCUAAGAUGAGGUCAUUGAUUGUUGUAUCUUGGAAAUAGAAAGUUGAUUACUAGUUCAUCUUUGAAGAGGAUGAACUUAUUUUAAGGACAAUGUCUCGUCACAACUCAGUCUUUUAAACCAAUAAGUAUUCCUUUCCUUUUUAUUCUGUUUCUUGUUUAUUCAAUUUUAGGCUAGGUCGAAAUUCCUUCAAUUUUUUUAGAUUUCUAAAUUCGACAAUCUUAAAGUAGGUUUUUGUUGAGGCCUCGCAUCCUUGGUGAUCCACGUAGAUGCCAAAUGGAUGGACGCACGAUCUCAACCAAUAUAGAUUCUUGAUUCAAUCGUACUACCUGCAAAAGGUGUCCGGACAAGGUGUCCGGACGCACCCUCCGAUGGUUUUGUCAGCCAUGGUUAAAGAGAUAGAGAUAAAUCAGUUGGCCUUUUACCAGGUAUAGCAAACUUACCUUCCUCUUUGUGUGAAGGUUCAUAUAUAUAGUAUUAGAAGCUUUGUUUCCCUUUUUAAUGGUAGGGAGAUAUUUUGUGUUGUCAUGAUGACACUAGGUGGUGGCAGGGCCAUCAUCACCCUACGGGCGGCUGUCAGAGAUCGUGGUAGUUGUUGCGACUGUCAAAAAUCGUGGGAAGUGAUCAUAGGAAGUGACUUGCCAUCACUUCAUUCUUGUCCUUUCACCCUGCAAGUGGCGGAACGUGGGCCAUGGCAGGUUGUUGUGAUAACGUAUAAGACUUGUUUACUUCAGUCAAUGAUCCGGACAAACAUACCCGGAUAGUGUAUGUCGGUCGUCCGGAUGCGCUGUGGCAGUCGUCCGGAUGUUAUGUUUAUGAGUGUCGUGUGCCUCUCUUUGAGGGAGUCCGGAUAGAAGAAGCGCGCCACGUGUACUCUUGGGGAAAUCUGGAUGAGGCUGAUCCAGAUGAGAAUGCGUGCCACGUGGCAUUAGGAGAUGUGUGCCACGUGUGGGGAGGGGUCCCUACAGUUUUUAAACGAAGGCUUCCCUAGUUCACACAUAUUAUAAUACCUUUAAAAUCGAUUCCUUCAAUGGGAUAUUUUUCAAGAGAUGGUAGAAAAUAGUAUUUUCUGCUAUAGAUGUAGUGAACUUAUGACACAUCUUGACAGACCUAAAAAUAAUAAGUCCAGAAAACAAAAACUCUAAGACUAAACUCAACAUAGCAAACAUGCAACUCAAUGCCACCACAAGAAGAGAAUUGAGAAGUCCAACCCUUAAGCUUUUUCUUGUUUUUCAAAAACAUAAAUAAUCCUUGAAAUCUAAGAUGAAUGGAAUUAUUUUUUGCCCUUAUGAGCCUCUUGGCAUGCUCAUUAGACUAGUUUUUAGGCCUAUAUAUCUUGUUUGCUAAUUGUUGACUACUUGCUAUCUUGUUUUUUAGUCUCAAAAUAUUGUUGUAAAUCAAGACCCUUUGGCAUGUUUUAAAUUGUUUUUUAAACUUAAAAAUAUAUUUUAGACACCUUGAAUGAGAUGAAGACUUCUUUCCUUGCUAGAAAUCUCAUUCCCAGACUAGUUGAAUAAUCCAAUUUUUUUAGGUGUUAGGUCGUUGUUUUAUUUUUGCAUACUAAAAUGUUUUUGCGAAUUGAUCCCAAUUAUUUUAUUAUCAAUUAUUUUUUAGGUUUGAACUUUGAUUUAGACGUCUUAAAUAAACUUAGGAGAUUUGGUCUUGUUAAAAAAUUCAUGUUUAUGCUUGUCGAAUAAAUAAUAUUUUGUAUAUUUGUAUGUUUUCUUGUUUUGUUUGGUCAUUAAAUGUUUCUUGAAAUUUGUAUCAUUUGGUUUAUAGUUGGGCUCCUUUGACUGUGAGAUGUGGUUUAGACAUCUUGAACUUGUUAGGAAAUUUUUUCCUUGAUUUUUUACCUUACCUCUAGCCUUGUUAAAUUAAUCCAUCUUUCACACACUAACAUGUUGUCCUAUUUUGCACAUCUUUUCUAUUUUGUUGAACUGGUCUCAUAUAGCCUUAUUUGAUUCUUGAUUUGUGUAGUGUAGAUCCUGUGCAUUAUAAAUAAGCUUUCUCCUAUAGCAUGACCACUCUUUAACUCUUGGAAAUGAAUUUUUUUGUAAGUGUAUAAAUGUAGUCCUAUUUGUUGUAUCGUGAUAUGUUUGUAUGAAUUAAUCUCAAUUGAUGUUAACUUAGUCAUUUUUGUUCUUUAAUUAGAGUUGUAGAUAUCAUGUACAUGUUGGAUAAUCAUUGUUUUGAUGAUAGAUCUUUUCUUAUAUUUGUAAAUUAACUUUUUCUUUCUUAUGUAAGAUUGUUGCCCUUGUUUUGGGCAUUUGAGAGGUAUGUUCCAUUAUUCCUUUGAUUGUUUAAUUCCUUUACUAACCAUGUCAUGCUCUCGAGAGAUCCUUGUUUGUUUGUCUUUGGUCCUAUGAUCUUCUAGUGUGCAUAACUCAUAUAUUCAUCAUCAUUUUCCUGUUCCUUAUCACCAUGUCUUGUACAUUUAUGUUUUUGUUUUUUGAUAUUCAUGAUCUACUAGUUAAUUAACAUAGUUUUAACUUUGUUAAAGGUUAAAGAGAUGAUACUCUAAAGUAUUUUCCCAAUUAGUAAAAAUACUUAAAUCAGGUGCUACUCUCAUACCUAAAUCAUGUUUUUGGCAAUAAUGUUUUUCUUAAAAAAGAGUUAUUUUAAGAUUUUAUUUUUUCAUUAAAAAUAAGUAAAAUAAGUGAUGAUUCUAACUUUUUAAAAGUUAGUUUUUCGUAAUAAAAGGUGAAUCUUAUAGUUGAGUGGAAACACACAUAAAAAAUACGGGUUCACCCCAUGAAACUUGCAAUAUAGCUAGCCUACACGUUAGUACUAAGAACUGAACCUGAAAAUAGAAAUAAAGGAAUAUGCACUAUGUGCUACGAAAACAAAAUUUGGUAGUUUACAAUUUCGAAGCAACCCCUGUUGAGAUCGAAAUAGUUGAAGUAAUUGAAGAGUAGAGCGAGGUACCAACUAAGAUGAAUCCUCUGGCAUCCUUCUUCGAUGCUUUAUCCCUUGAAUAUUCAAGGUCAUACUUGCCAACUAUGAUGAAGGAUCCCCUAGUAACAUCAGAAGCAUAGCAGUUGAUCCAGUUAGCAAGCCGAUCCCAGCUGACACCUUAUCAUUUUCAGCAGUUUCUGUGUUCCUACAUAGUCUGGAUGCUUCAAAAUGCCAACAAUAAAACAUUCUAUCAGUGUGUAAAAAAUAAUUAGAUUGUAUUGGUGGAUGUUUUGGGAUAUUACCGAUUUUUCUUUUUAUUUUUUGACUAAUUGGGAACUUUAAGUCAAUGGUAUUCGGUCUGGAAAAUGGCUACUGCUGAAGCAAGAGAGAGAAGAUGUAUAUAUAUAUAGAUAUAUAUAGAUAUAGAUAUAGAUAUUUGAAAUCAACAAAUGGCAUGGGUUGAGAAAUGGAACCAUACAUUCUAAAGAAGUGAUAAAUUUGAAGAGAGAGAUUGGUUUAAAUCAAUCUUACCAAAGCUGAUAAUAGCAUGAAGAAGCGAGCCGAGCAGAGGUAGAAAAACCCCACCAGAAAUUCUAGGACUAGCAACUUCCACCAGAAUUUCACUCCCAUCAUACCAGAGCUUGGCUGCAAACAACAUCAAUGAAACAUACACAGAUAAGGAACAUGUUUCCAGGCACAGUGGUGGUGCAUGGCAUGAAUCCAAUCGUCUGGCUAUAGCUAUCUGAUGAAGGCCAGUGCUCAAAAACAAUAAAAUCUGAUUGCUGAUGAACAUCUUCAACUCCAUCAGAGACCAGCCCAGAGGAAGAGUUAGCCAAAAUAAUAUUAAAAUGGUUUAUCUGCAAACUUUAUGAUCAAUCAUUUAACUCAAGACUUUUCUGUCUUGGUCACGUGUUAAUUGGAGCAUUAUUAGUAGGCGUGUGAAGUAGUUAGAAAACAAUGUGGACUGUGGACUGGUCAUUUUCUGAAAAUUGUCAUGUCCCCAUGAAUUUUAGUCAAUGCGCGUAAGGUAGGUAGAAAGCAACGCGAAUCGGGACUGGUCCCUCUAAAUUCUUAUGCCCAUCAGCCAUGUGAAUUUUAUUUUCUUUUCAAAGCAACGUGAUAUGUUUGCUGCAAAUGGCACAUGAAUCUCAUUCAUGCUAAAAGAUUUCAUUCCAAAAUCAUUCAAUACGAUGUGGCUUGUCUUCAUAAUGGAGUACCAUAGAAUUCAUUGCUGCAAAUGUUACAUUCUUGGCACGUUUCUUAAACAAUUACGCACACAGAUUGCAUUUUCCCAAUUCAAGAUGUAGUGUUAGGAGAGAGGUCAAUUAUGUGGAUCCAAUGUGAAGGGGAACAACUACCAAGAAAACCCAGCAAGGAAUGAGACAUCUUGUUGCUAGAUCAUGCACGUUCUUUUGUCAUUUUUUGUGUACUUGAAAGCUAUAAGUCAUUCAUUGGUGUGGUUAUAUAAAGAUAAAGUUUAUCCAUACAUAAGAGGUAUAUCAUCAUGUUUUAAUGUGGCUUGAAUUAUAAGACGAAUAUCCGUUGAAAGAACAGAUAUUAUCAAUUUAUUGGAGUAAUAAGGUUGAAAGAGAAAAUAACACAUGCAAUUAUAAAGGAAGAUAAAAUUAAGAAGAAUUAAAAUUUUAAUAUAUUCCAUUAUUCUUUCUUAUUCCAAUAUUAUAUAAUCUUUUAUUUAUAGAUAUUCAUACUUAACUAAAUGGAAAUUCCUAUUAAUAUAAUAAUUAUAAUAUUUUCAAGGUUUUCAAAUCAAAUUUAAUUUUUCCACAUAUAUUUUUUUAUUAUCAAAGAUAUCAAAUUAGGAAGAAAGAACGAAGGUAAAAUAUGGCACAACAUGGCAUGGACAGGAGAUGGCCACCCAUGGAUCAAAAUAAGCCAAAAAAUGGAGAAUAACUGUAACGACCUUCUCCCAACGGUGUAGAUAUUGUCCGCUUUGAACCCAAAGGAACCCUUACGACUUUAAAACGCAUCUAUAGGGUUAAGAGAAGUUCAUACUUAUAUAGCGUAAAAAAAUUUCUCCCCUAUCCGAUGUGGGAUGUCACAAACACCCCUCAUGUAAACACAACAUCCUUAUUGUAUCCCACGGGAUUAUGGGGCCAAACAAACAAACACCCUUAUGGGGCCAAACAGACAAACACCCUUAUGAGACCAAACAAACCCUACACUAAGAUCGGGGAUCGACUCUGAUACCAUUUGUAAUAACCCGCUUCCAACGUUGUAUAUAUUGUUUGCUUUGGACCCAAAGGGGCCCUCACGGCUUUAAAAGGCGUUUACAGAGUUAAAAGAAGUUCAUACUUAUAUAGCAUCAAGAACUUUCCCCCUAUCCGAUGUGGGAUGUCACAAUAACACCCAACCCCAAUGGUAUAAUUAGAUCCAUAUUGAAAUAUAUAAGUCAACAAGUUGGCUCCCCAGCUUGUGUCGGCACACCCACAUAAUUCAUGAACUAGAUCAAAAUCAAUAGUCUUUUGUUAUUCCAUAGUUUAAAUGGAUAAGGUACAAGAAAUUAAUUUCUCCAUGCAAGUAAAUUUCUCUUGUUGCUUUCUUUAAAGUAGAAUUAUUCCUAAAAACCAUGGUUUUAAAAACCACACCGAACCAACUGGUUCGACCGUCGGCUGGUCACGGUUUCGGUUUCCAAAUAGCCCUGCCUUCCAUUUUUGUUUUUUAAAAUUUAAUUUUGAUGUUUUAUAUUUAAUUUCUUAAUUUUUAAUUGAUUAUAAUUGUAGUGAUAUGUUUAAUAUUUAAUUUUUUUUAUUUUUUAUUUAUUACACAUUGAAAUUUUAAUUUAUUGAAAUGAUUGAAAAAAUUGGAUUGAUUAACAUCUACAACUAAAAAAUUUUAUGAAAAAACUCAAUAAACAUAAUAGAUACUAUCAAAAUUUAGAUAGAAUUUAUUAUUUUUAUUUAUUAAUUUUUUAAAAUUUAAUAUUAUAUAAAAUAUAUAUAUAUGACAUCACCGGUUCGACCGCCGGUCCGACCAAUGAACCAUGAACUAAUAACUUUUCUAGUUUGAUGAUUGGUUCGGUUAUGAAAACAUUGCUAAAAACCAUACAUUGACCUCUAACAUGUAUCACAUAGUCAAGCUCAUUCGUUUUUUCUUUCUACUGAAUGAAAUUAUUAGCCAAAAUUAUAUUUUAGGGACAAAGAAACUCAUUUUCGGUUAUUUGACCUAGAUUUGAUCUUAAAUGAACAAUGAAAAAAUACUAUUCAAGCAAUGGUACAAAUUGAGAUAAGAUAUAUGUGUGUGUCCAUAUAGGAAAAAAAGACCAUGCAUCAUUGACACCUUGCAUAAUAGUUAAAGCUUAACAAAGUCUAGCAUAUGAAGGAGUAAUAUAUGAAGAACUCUAAGGGUCUAUUUGAUAACUAUUUUUAAAUAAAAUUUUGAAAAAUAAUUUUUUAAAAUUGUUCUCUAACUUUUAGAGAACAAAUGUUUAUUUGAAAAUUUAAAAUAUUUUAACCAUUUUUUAAUAUUUUUUAAUAUAUUUUAGAAAUAUUUUUUAUAUCUAGUAUUUUAUUUUUAAGUAUUCUUUGUAUAAUUAUUUUUUAAAACAACCCUAAAAAACCAAGUGAAAACAAUAUAAAACAACUAAAAGAUGUCACCCUAUUUUUUGUUCUUAAGAUUAGAAAAUAGAAAAUAGUUUUUAGUUGUCCAAUGUGCUUUUUGUGUUUUUUGCUAUGAAGAACAAAAAACUAUUCUAAAAAAAAAAAAAAAUCAAAUAAGCCCUAAGGCAUGCGUUUUUAUUUUAUCAUGAGAAUAGUUUGUGCAAAUCCCAAAUUAGAGGGAAAAAAAUUAUGAGAUUCACAAUCUUACUUCCACUUUUUUUAUCUUUUUUUUUUUUUUUUUCUUUUUUCUCUUUUGACAUUUUCUCGCAAUCAAACUAGAUUAAAACCAAAAAAGUGGUGUUAGGUAUGCGGAAAUUCUGAUACUAAUUUGUUGGAGUAAUAGAGUUAAAAGGGAGACACAAUUAUAAAAUGAGAUAAAAUUUGGGAGAAUUAAAUUAUACUUCACCACUCUCUCCUAUUCAAAUAUCAUAUAAUCUCUUAUUUAUAGAUACUUACAUUUAACAAAAUAGAAAUUUUCUAAUUUGACAACUCAAAAAUAAAAACUGAAAUAAUGAGCCAAAAUAAAACAUUUCUCCCUUGACUUUUAGAGACUAAAUUUAAUUAUAAUAUUUUUAAAAUUUUUGGAUCAAGUUUAAAUUUCCAACUUGUCUCCUAAACUUGAUCCGUGACUUCAAGUAGUAUCAUCAACCUUCUAAAAUCUCCAAAAUUGUAAAGGUUGGUAAAAAUAUCAGCAAUUUAAUCUUGAGAUUUUGAAAAUUUUAAUUGCACUUCCUUCUUCAAAUGUGUUCUCUAAUCAAAAGAAGAUGGACGAAUAAUUUGAUUUUCACAAUAUUUUUUAAAUUCUUUUGAUGUGAAUUCACCUUUUUCUAUCGAUCUCAUUGCCUUUAUAUCAUGGACACUUACCUUUUAAAUAAGUCCUUUAAAUUUCUUGAAAACACUAAAUACUCAUAUUUUUCCUUCAAAAAAUGCACCCAAAUUUUUCUACUAAAAUCAUCAAGUAAAAAAUAUUUAUUCUUGCUAAAUAUUUAUUUUUUAAUCACACAAACAUCAUUUAAACUCUCACUAAUUCUUUUUAAUAAAAUUCAUAAUAGUCAAUACUCUAGAAAAAUAAUCAAAAGACUGAUUCCAAUUCUUUCAUAUUCAAAUUUUCAAAUUCUCUUUCAAGAGUUUGAAGACGAACUUUUCUUACCUUAUCAAUUCCCUUUUGUGUAUUUUGUAAUAUAUCUCAUACUUCCAUGGAGGUGGUUGCAUUUGAAAUAUUCUCAAAAGUACCUUCAUCCAUUAGAUGAUGGUGAGAACUUUCUUGUUUCGCUACCUCAUAUCUUUCAAAAAAUCCCUUUGAUUUAGGGUCAAAGUGAUUUCAUGUUGGCUCCUUCUAGCCUUUCUUAAACAUAUAAUAAGGAUAAAAAUACUACUUUAAAUUAAAAAUCAAGUUCAAAGGAGGCAAGUUCGGAAGUAAAAUUGAUGUUAGAAAGUUUCCAAAUUUUAGAUUUGAUUUGAUAUGAUUAAAUAUGAAUAUGGGGUUUGUGUAAUAGUUGAACAAGACAAAUAGAAGACAAUAAAAUUUCAUUAAUUUUUCUCAAUUUGUUAUUUAUCUUUAUGAAAUUAUGUAAUUGUUCUUGUGUUUUCAGCCCUCUUACUCCAACAAGAUCACCAGGGGUGCCCUGUACGGGUUGAAGGUGUUCAGAUAAGGAAGUGAAGAUGGAUGUGAAGAAUGAGUUUAUCUUAUUCAAACCAGAGGACAUGGGCCAGGUUAGUUGUAGAUUUACCAUCCUGGUCACUAAACUGAUCAGGAAGACAUGAAUGAGUUCCAUUGAGAAUACCCAGCAGAUCAUAACCAACUAGCAAGCAAUCAAAUUGAGGUUUGUAAGAUGGGUAGUUGGAAGAAGUUGCAGGAAGCAACAAGAUGGAAUUGGGAGCUAGCCAGACUUUCUUCGGACAUGGUGAAUGAAAGGGAAAAAGGAAGAUGCAAGCCUGUUGGAGCUGUACAAAUCUCAUACCAUAAGAAGAAAUAAGCAAAGAGAUUUUGUGUAUUGUAUUAUGAAUUCACUAACUUGCUUUAUCCAAUACAUACAAAAUGGUGGAAAAACAUUUACAGAAAUAAUUACAAGUCAACCUAAAAUCUAAAAGAAUGAUUCAUAACAUACAACUGUAUUACAAUUGAUCAUCACCCUCCUCGAGAAUGACUAGUAUCAAGGUGGUCAUGAUUGAGCUUUGUUUUAGUAAUUUGCUUCUUGGCUUAUAACAACUACUGAAUAAAUCUGAAAAUUCGUAAAUUGCUCCUAAAGCGCUCAAUGGUCUUAAAAAAAAAUUGAGAAUCUAACAUGGACCAUGGUCAUCCAUAUUCUUUUGGAAGAAAGCUCCAAAUAAUGAGGACAAUCAGUACUUCAGAUGUGAAGUUCCAUGUCAACUGGCGAAAAUAAACUAGGCCCAAGAAGACUGACAUGCAAAGGAAGUUGUUCAUGCUCAUUGCCCCAUAAAUCUGCAGCAAACAAUUCAUAUACAGUUAUGAAUUAGAACAUCAUGACAGGAACCCAAAAUUCACUAAGUUAAGAUAGAUAACUAACAUCAACCCAAGCAAACCUUUGAAAAUGUUAAAGAAGCAAUUCUCAACUUCUUUUGGCUGGCAAAGUUUUGGGCUGACACUGCCUCACUGAAGCUAGCGAAAGGCAGAACAAGAAAUGAGACAAAGAAAGAAGGAAUGUUAGUAGCAGUGGAGAACUUGCCUACAGCAUUGACAAGAGGACCAGCAAAUGUAGCAGCUAUCAGAGAUCCCAAAAGCAACAUCACUACUGCUUUACAGGCACUCCAUUUGGGGCUUUCAAUCUUCACAACCUCAUCACUCUGAAUACCCAGCUGUUCAUGCUCUUUGUUUGACACCUGCUUAUGCAUUUUAAAGAUGUCAUCACACCAACAUCGAGAACAUAAUUAAUCAUGACUGAACCUAGAAUAACAUGGCAUUGACAUACCAAAUUGAAGUGGUCUACAACUAGUCUUGUCUUCAUAUGAUUGUAACUGGAACAAACUGCAGAAUUCUUAGCCUUAUUAAGCCAUUUUGAGAUUCCUUUGGUAAAUGCCUCUAUAUUAAUCUUAGCAUCCCCACAAGCAUGGACAUCUCUCAUAAUAUCUCCAACAGUAUCAUCAAUAUCUGAAUCUUUGUCUUUAAUCUGGAUUCCUGUUAUCAGUGCUCUUAUCUCACUAGUCGAGAGCAACUGAUCUGAAUUCCCAUCAAUCAUCUUAAAUAGCCUGUCAUUGUAUCCAUGAAAAAGUGCAUGCAUUGAGAAUCAGGCCUGGUCUCAUAAGUUAGUAAGAAUUUUGUCAACUAUUUUACCAUUGGUGUUGCCUCAUGACGUUGAUUUUUUAUAAUCUAACUUGGAAUAGCCUACAACUAAUAAGGGAAAGAAGUUGAAACUAAAACAAAGACUAACAUUCUGAUCACUUCCAUAUCAGGUUCACCAUUAGUUGUCAAAAGCCUCUCCAAUGGACUGUAUUUCAAUUGUUUUACAAUUCUUGAUGUCAUAUGCAUCUGCUUUGCAUAUGCAAGCUUUCUUCUCAGAAUCGAAGGGUGAAAGACCUGCAACGACAUUUGAUUGGAAAAUCAUGAAGAAGAAGCUAGCAUAAAAAAGAGUUAUGAAAAUAAAAUUAUUUUAACAAUUAGUAACGUCUGAGUACUGAGUGGACAAAUACCUGAUGAAGGCAAUAUGCAAGCAAUAAAGAAACAGAGAUAAUGAGUGAAAUAAAGAUCGCGAAGCAAAUUUGUGAAGAUGUGUGGAGAACUUGUGCUAGUUGGACUAUUAUGAAUGGCAUAACAGAUAUAACCAUGAUCCUAGCAGUAUAGCUAGCCCUGAUAUCAGUACUGAUAGCUGAACCUGAAAAUAUCGAUAAAGGAACAUGCAUAAUGUGUCAGGAUAACAAUCAGACUGAACAACAUUUUUCUUGUAAAAUGUUAGCUAGAAUCAAUGGUUCACUUUAUGUACAUUGAUAAGUGAAUAGCUAAAUUGUUUUACUCACUGCACAACAAACUUCAUAUGAAUUAUUUAAUUUGGAUAAUGAAGAAAAAGAACAGUUGAAUUCAUUGUCAACAAUUAGAAUCAAUCUGUGUUUAAAAGUUGCUACUUGGAAUAGUCUUUCAUGAAUUCUUGACACAAGCAGAGACUUUAUAACUGAAGAGUAUAGGGAAGUACCAGCUAAGCUGAAUCCUCUGGCAGUUUCCUCUGAAGCUUUUUCCCUUGAGUUUUCAGGGUCACAUUUAUCAACUAUGAUGCAGCAUCCUCCUAGCAAUGUUAGCAGGAUGGCAGUUGAUCCAGUUAGCAAACCGAGCCCAGCGGACACCUGAUUUUGAGCAGUUUCUCCGUUUCCACAUAGUCUGGAUGCUUCACAAAUGCAAAUAACAAAAUAUUCCGUGAGCGUGUAGAAAAAUUAGAUUGCCUGCAGGUAGGCAGUGGAUCUAUACAAGAACACACUAUCAAGUCAAUCACAGUAGAACAUAAAAAUGUGACACUUAAAUACUAGGAAGCCACAGACUAAUAAAGGCUCAUAAUUGGCAUCAGCAACUAUGAAUCAGCUGCAAUUGCCCAUCCAAUGGCUCACUAAACUCAAGAGACCCAUUUGCCACUGAGUAGGAACUCCUGAACUAGUUACAUAAAUUCUCUCUCUAUUUGUGGGUUUCCAAGUAAUCAAUCUUGUGGAUUUUGUCUUCUGCAUCCAAUUGGGUUCUGUACUCACUCGUUUCAGUCACUCCUUUGCCCUGUCCAAUCCUCAUUUUGGUCAUUCUUGGCAAUGGCAAUGCCAUAAACUCUUCCAGGUUUCCUUAUUUCCCACUAGGAUAUGCUUCUCCUUAGAAGUCCUCAAUCGAGCAUUUCAUCAAGUAGUCUAAAUAAGUUUCAGUUUCUGUACUAUGUUUCUUUUAGUACUUCUCUGCAGUUCCAACUGAGGGGAUGGCACAAUUAGCAUUCCUCAAUUCUUUUCUUUCCCUUUCCUUUAUCCUUACUUUUUUUUUUCUAAGUUGAUUCUAUUGUCCAAAAUGAUAGAAUAAAUGUGGACCGACAGUUUAUUAAACAUUGUCCAGGAUUAAGCUAUCUUUUAACAUGCAAUUUCUGAUUUAAUCUUGAGUAUGGGCCACCUAAUGUGUAGAACCCAAUGUCAUCACGGGCUUUAGAUGAUGGGCCUAAGGCCCGUGAGGCUCAAUAACCAAUGGGUAUGGUCCCUAAGGCAGGAGGGUAUGGUCCCUAAGGCAGGAGGGUAUAAAAGGCUUAGGCUUGUGUCUUUUGGGAUAAUCACAUCCUUCUGAAAGAACAGAACCGCUCUCUCUCCCGCUCCCAUUGCCUGAGAGAAUCUAGAGAAAGGUGGUGCCCUCCAUCAGCCUUAGAAGAUCGAUACCUCUUCAUCAAAAGCGUCAAAAUGGAUUCAUUCAGGUUGGUUCCUAUCUAAAGAUUGAUUGUUGAAUAUAUUCUGUAUGUGUGUUUUGGUGUCAAUGGAGAAGACAUGAAGUUACAACACAAAACACUAUGUAAUCUACCACAUUUGAUUAAUGCGUCUGUGUGCUGGCACUUAAUAAAGCAUAUCCAACACAAUCAUUGAGUAGGAAAAAGCAAAGGAAAGUUUUGUUGCAGUUUUCACACUAGGCCCAAAGGAAAAGGACACCAACUCAAAACUCAAGCUUCCCACUCAUUGAUUAUCGGAAUGGCAAAGUAAGGGAUAUGAACCUUACACCACAAGUCUCUUUGAUAUUCACAAAAUAUAUACAUAUGCAACAAUUUGAUCUUCUGACAUCUAGGAAACUUAUGCCAACUGUAUGGUGGACGUUUACAGAAUAUUCUGCAUUUUUUUUUCCUCACUGAUUGGGAACUCAAGUCAAUGACAUUAGGUUCAGAAAAGCAGGAACUGCUAAAGCAAGUGGGAGAAAAAACUAUAUAUUAAAAUGUUGAAACUAUAGUACACAGAAAAUGUGCCUGAAAUGAAUGAAUAGUAUCUCGGGAACUUCAGAUUCAGAAAGUUAUGACUCUUUAUCGUUGAGGCUGAAUGAGAGUGAACCAUAAAUCCUAAAAAUAUGAUGAGUUUCAAGCUUACCAAUGUUGAUAAUAGCAUCAAGAAGCGAGCUGAGCAGAGGCAGAAAAACAGCACCAGCAAUUCCAGGACUAAGAAGUUCCACCAGAAUCUCACUUCCAUCAUAUAAAAGCUUGGCUGCAAACAACAUCAAGGAAACGUAUACAAGGAUAAGGAGUAUGUUUCCAGGCACAGUGGCGGUGCAUGGCAUGAACCCAUAUGUCUGGUUACAGCUAUAUGACGAAGCCCACUCCUCAAAAACAAUAAAAGCUGGCUGCUGAACCUCUCCAUCCCCAUCAGAGACCAGCCCAGAGGAGGAAGAGUUAUUGGCUGCAACACGUCCACAACUUCGGGGGCUUACCAUCAUGAGAAGAAGCAUGGCUAGAAGAAAGAGUUCAUGUUUCUUUGCCAUGCCCGGGCUUGGCCUCAUGAUGAGAGGCUAAUGUGUCCUAUAUAUAUUACUACUCUUGUCAUUAUUGCCUUAGAUUGCUCAUCUUUGACGCUGAAAAGUUGUCUCAGGUGGUUGCAGCUUACCCACUUAAUUGAUUAAAUUAUUGGUGCGUGUACAACUCAUUUGCUUUUUCUCCGUGAAUACAAAUCCAAUGGCGGAUCCUACUGCAUUAUGAAAUUUUAUUUUUUAAUAUUUUCCCAAUGAUACCAUUAAUGUACACUUUUAAUUGUCAUUGUUUUGUACUUAAGUAUAUAGUAUUUUAAUAUAUGUUAAUUAAACCACAUAAAUACGAGUAAAAAAUAAAUAAGAAAAAAAGACAAGAUUUUUAAUAUGGUUCAACGAUUAAUGUGAUCAAUAUGUGCAUAGAAUGCAUCAAUACUCAAAAAUCCACCGGUAAAAAAGAUUGAGUAGAGUUACAAUGGUAUAACUCUCGAAAAACAUCUCUUAAUUGUGAUUGCACACUCUAAAAACAAAACCCUAACAUAAAAGGGUAAAAUAUAUAAUAGAAACAAACUCGUCAAUCAUUAAUUAAAAAAAAAAAAAAAAAACCUUUAAGGGGCUUUGUUUAACCCUCAUAAACUGACUAGAUAGUUUGACCCCGACAAACUCAACGGAGAGCUUAACCCUCACAAGCUGAUCAGACAACUUGAUCCUCGACAUUUUUAGUGAAGUGCAACAAAAUCGAUUCAGGUUUCACAAUCCAAUAAUAAAUUUAUAUUUUUUCAAUGAUCCAUAUUUUAUCCUGUAUUUUAGAUAUUAAUUCGAUAUAUUUUAAUAUUUUUUGUCUAAUGGUAUAGUUGUGAUUUCCUUUUUUCCAAAAAAAAAAAAAAAAGAACUGUUGAUUCUAGCUUGCACCUAGUUGGAAGCAAUGCAAAAUAACAGUUCAUCCCAUUCAAUAUUAUUGCUAAUAUAAUAAUGUUACAACCAUGUGGUUUCUAACAACUUAGUAAAUAUUAUAGUAUGAGUUGGACUCGUACUUCUAAAGUGAUCGAUUUGACGACCUAGAAAUUCACGUUUGGUUAUCUUCAUAUUCAAAUUUGUCCAUGACACCAUGAUUUUAGCUGAUACGUUAUCUUACCUUCAAAAUAUAUAUAUUUUUUCGUUUUCCAAAUCAUCUUCUCAAGGAACGAAGCUUAUGGUCAAUAUAGUGCACCAAACAACAUAAAUCUUUAGGUUUAUGGGGGUAAGUGGUUCUUAUCACCAACAUUUUGAGUAAUUUAAAGUAAUAAUGAAAAAUAAGUGAAGAAUAUUUGAAUGAUGUAGCAAAAUUUUUGUUAAAUAUAUCUAUUUUUUUUAACUAAAAUUGUAAAUUAUUUAAUUAAAAUUAUAAAAUUUAUAAAAUAAGUUUACGUAUAUAACAAGAUUUUUUUUUAUCAAAUAACCUUAAUAAUGUUUUUUUUUAUAAAACAUUAAUAUUACAUAAUAACGAGAAUAGACAAAAAAAAAAAAAAAAUCAAAAUAAGAAUACAUAAAUUUAUUUAAAAAAAUCCGAAAAAAAUCAUAAGUAGAGAAAAAUAAAAUUUACUAUAUCAAAAGAUUAAUACAAUGGAGGAGAGUUGUAAGACCUAUUGACCGAUCCAUCCACUAUCACUUUAGACCUCUCAAAAAAUCUCAUAAUUAUAGUUUAAUCACAUAUUUCACAUCACAAGUUUUUUGAAUCAAAUUACAUAAAAUUUAGGUCAUCAAAAACUAACAAUUAAUAUAUAUAUAUAUAUAUAUAUGUUUUUUGAUGUUUUUUACACAAAUAAAUGUAAAAUAUUAAAUAAUAAUACGACUUUUGUCGUAAAAAUUUAAAUACAACCGAUAAAGGGACAUGUGAAGAGCUUUUUUUUUUUUUUUUUUUUGUUUAUUAAGAUGUGAAUAGAAGAAUUGAGUGUAGCACGUGCUGAAAUUAAAUGAACCGUCCCCGGGUAGCGUUGCUCGAGAUGGGUUUUUGUUUUUCAAUCUUUCAGUUGACCAGACCACCUCCGUGACUUGGGAGGAGACACAUUUGUAUUUUUAUAUUUAUUUGUUUUCUUUUUUUAAAUUGCCUUGUAUGCAUUCCCUCCUUGGUAGCCCCCGUUUUUGAGUGAGAUGAUGCAUGGCACGACCCUCUUUGCAUUUUGCAAGGUGGCGUCCACUUCUUAAUUGUUGUUUACUUAUUUUUAAUUAUUUAUUUAUUUUUUUCCUAAGUGAAACUUAGACAUAUAAACCAAAUUAUUUCUUUCCUUUUUAUUUUGUGUUAUUACUAUAAAUAAUACCUUAUCCCAUAUUAAAAGUAAUUUGGAUUAUUAGGAGUAUAACGUACCUUCUACUGCAACGCACAUUAAAAUAUUUGGGGAAUAGAAUACACUUAUUCUACAUUCCAUAAUUUAUUAUUAUUAUUUCAUAAAUAUUAAAUCAUGCAAAUUUUGUUAUGAGAAGUUGAGUAUUCCUCUAUUUUUUUCUUCCUCCUCAUAAGUUCUCCCUUUUCAUUGAAACAUGAAAAUAUAUAUAAAAAAAAAAACAAUAAUAUAACAAUUGAAACAAAAUGAAAAAAGAGUUGGUCUAAUUUGGUGAAACAUAUGGUAAUAUGUUAUCUUAAAACUGUUAUCACCUCCCUACAUGCAGUGUUAACAAAUGGUAGCCGCUCUAAAAUACAACCUCAACCAUUGGCUAAAACUAUGGGAACCUAUCCAUAAUUCUAUUGUCUAAAAACUAUGAAAAACUCAAAAGAAGAUAUCUUUAUAAUAUUAUUUUUUUCCAUAAAAAUGAAAGGUCUUUUUAAUAAUAAAAAUAUGAUCAUUGUUUGAGUAUUAGUAAUUACCUUAGAAUAGUCAACUCCAUGAAUCUCACAAAUAUCAAUAAAACUCAUCAAAUCCCACACAAGAUUGGAAAAAUAAAAGUCACUUAUUGUCUUUAACCUUUACAAUAAUAAAAGGUAUGAUACCAAGAUUUUAACCUCUUUUUUAUUUUAUUUUUUUGUAAAAGAAAGUUUUAACUUUUAUAUUUUUGAGUAAAAUCUUACAUUCCUCCACAAGGUUUAAAACUUCAAAAUAAUAAUGAAAAUAAGUAAAUAAAUUAAUGGACAACGUUAUACUAUACAAUAUCUAUAGGUAUUUUUUGGACUUGAACUUACACUUAGUAUUAACAAUUUCCAUUUGAGGAUCCAUAGUGAAUUAUGUCUUGAACUACGUCCUUAAGCCAAACUUUAGCAUGACACACACAUAGUAUUGAUAUGAAACUUGAUUCUAAGAGAGUUAGUGAAUGUUAUUAAUGGUCAUGCACUAGUAUCUUGAUUCUCAUGAGAGUUACUAAGGAAUAACCCUACUCCCAUAGUCAUGGUCAUAGGAUGACUCUCAUUUAAGUGAGUCCUCCAAGGGUACAUAUGACUUGUACCUCAUAGAAUUUUUUAUCUUGGACCCAUUUAGGGAAAUACUCUUCCAAACAUCACAUCAAAAGCACUAUCACCAUAGUGAUGUAAAUUAGACUCUCUCCUGAAAAAUAGUGCUAUAAAGUUACGUAUUACAAAUUAUUUCUAUCCAUUUAACCUUCUUCAUGAUAUCUCCGAUCACAAAUGUUAAGUUACCAUUGGAGGUGACUCCUUUAAGGCCUUCAACCCAUCCCCCUUGAUGAUUCUAAGAUAGCAUUUCUAGAAAGACCCUUGGUCAACUAAUUGACAAAAUUCUUUCAGAUCUAAAAUCCAAGGAUGUCGAAUAGUAAGUUUUUAAUGCAUUCUGCCUCAAUGUAUAUUAUAUCAAGCGCAAUUAACUUAGAUUUCAUUGCUUCUUGAUAUUAUAGUUUGUUUUAAAUCCCUAAGAAAUAACAACACCUCUUAGAAGGAUAUUAUAUCUAAUAGUGAAUUUGACAUCUAAAUUUUCAAUUAUCCAAUUUACAUCACUAUAUCCUUCCACUACAUUAAGGAAUCCUUCGUAACAUAAAGAGUAAUCUAAACUUUCUCUAAGAUACUUAAAAACUCUUUAAAGCAACCCAAUUUUCCUUGCUAGGAUUAUGAUUAUACCUACUUAGUCUCCCCGCUACAUAUGUUAUACCAUUGUUAGUCUAGUUAUUUGAAAUAUACAAUAAAGACCCUAUUAUUUGAGAAUCAUUAAUUGUUGUAUUGCUCUCCAACAUUUUUCUUCAAAUGCAUAUGGGAAUCAUAGGGUGUGGAUAUUGGUUUACUAUCAAAGUAAUUAAAUUUUCUUAAUAUUUUUUCAAUGGCACUUCAUUGAUCCAAAUUUGUACCCUCAACUGUUCUUAAAAGUCUCAUUCCUAAUAUUAUGUAUCUCUCCUAAAUCCUUCGUCUCAAAGUUCAUAGAUAAAUAAUCUUUCAUGUCAUUCACUAUUCUAUACUACUUCCAAAAAUUAGAAUAUCACCUACGUAAAAACAAAGUAUGUUACAUUCUUUUAGAUCCAUUUUAUAAUAAAUACAUUUAUCAUAAUCAUUAAUCUUAAACCUAAAAUCCAAUAUGACUUUAUCAAACUUUUUAUGUCACUAUUUUAAAGCUUGCUUAAGACCAAUAUAAUGACUUGACCGUUUUCAAGAAUAGGGUGACUUCACUAAUUUCUAUUUAAUUUCUCUCUUAAUGUUGUUUAUGAUUCCUCUAGUUUAUGGGUGGGCUAAAUUUAUAUAUUACCUAAUUUUUAUUUAUUCCACCUCAUCAAAAAUUCAUGUUGGUUAGCCUUUUAUUCAUUCAAAAUCAUCAAAGAUUAUAUAGGUUAUCCUUUCAUUCAUUCCAACUCAUUAAGGAUGCACAUAGUUGCACUCUUUAUUUUUCUUCUACCUCUCCAUACCAUUAUAUACAAUUAUAUGAUUAUAUUUUUAUUUUUGUAAAUAGUAGAAGAAAAAGCAAGGAUGUCUCUUCCAAUCUUGUGAAAUAAUAAAUGUUAUAAAGUUAAAUUUUGGAUGCAUAAAAAUAGAAAGUUAAUUAAGUAUUAUUAAGCAAUCUUACUUUUUACCUUAAUCCAUGACACAUAAUACGAAAUUGAUUGAUAAAUCAACUCAAAUUCAUAUUUCACAUCAUGGAUAAAGGUAAAACAUAAUACCAAUUAAUUAAUUUUUUAUUUUAUCAUUUUUCUAAUCCAAGUCUCUAAUUGGUUGCCUUGAUUAAUUAGAUCAUCUACCAAGCUUUUUAUAUACAUUUCCAAAGAAAUAAGUCUAUAAUCAAUAAACAUAAUCAUACACGACCAUAAUUAAUACAAAUGCUAACAGUAAUAGGUGAAGAGAGAUGUCCAUCACUUGGGGAGUGAAAAAAGGUAUGAUGUUUGAAAGGGCCGAGCAGGGUUAUCAAUUAGGGAUGACAAUAGGGCAGAUUCGGAAUGGGUCGCCCCCAUCCCAACCCCGUCUCGUUUAUUCAAAAUUAUUUUCAUCCUCAUCCCAUUUAAAAAAUUAAACAGGACGAGACGAGUAUGAUAAAUUCUCAUACCCGUCCCACUUUGCCCCGUUUAACUAUAUUUUUUGAAUUUUAAUUUUUUUUAAAUUACUUUUAAAAUUUUUAAUUAUAUUAAAAUAAUUAUAUUUUAUAAAUAAUUAAAUUAUUAUAUUUUUUAUAACUUAUUUUAUUAAAAAUAUUUUUUUAUUAUUUAUAUAUUAAAAAUAGUAAAAUAAAAAUUAAAUUAAAUUAAUUUUAAAAUUUAAAUUAAAUUAAUUUUAUAUAUAAUCGGGACGGGACUUGGUAAUAUCCGAACCCGGCUCCAGGUUUAAAAAAAAAUUAUCAAACCCGUUUAUUAAAAUUGAAUCUCGUCCCACUAAAAGCGAGACAAACAGUACCUGAAAGAACCGGUCCACUGCCAUCCCUGUUAUCAAUUAGAGGCUUACUCAUUUUUAAACCAUUGGCUGAAGAGUAAAGGUCUCCCCACACAUGCCUGUUAUUAUCAAAACUAGAGUCGAACAAACUGACUAGUCAAAACAGAAAAGAGAUGAUGAGAGAUGAUUUUUGGGGAAGGGUACUAUCAAGUCAAUUAUAGAUGCCAAUUAUCAAGACAAGCUCUGACACUAACUAGUGCACAUGGUGAAUUCUAUGCUAGGCUACCGUAUAAAUGAUCAUUAUUGCUUUGCAUGUGAAGUAGAUGUAACAUCUAGUGACAUCCUUCUGCAACAGGGAGAUCCUUUAACAAGCACUUAACAAGACAUCAAUUGAGCUUUAGAGGAUAGGAUGGGAAGAAUACUUUUUUUUUUUUUUUUUUAUUUUAUCUCAAGAGGCAUAUCAGAUGAUAUUGUCUUAUUUGUUUAUCCUCUUAUACCUUAAUCUCAUUUAUUUGUAUCAUUUAUUUAACGAUCGAGAUCUUAUAUAUCGUAUAUAUUUCAAGACCCAAAUCUUUUGUUCGAGAGGUACCACUUUGGUAUCUUAGCAUUUUCCUUGAAGGAUGGAUAGUUGGAAGGAGUCAAUUUCAAUGGAAGCUGUGAAAUAAUAUGCUUAGAAAAGAUGAGGUUGGGUAAAUUAGUAAUAGUUUCAGGCAAAGCAACAAUAAGAGACAUGGUGAAUGAAAGAGAAAAAGAAGAUACUUGUUGGAGCUUCACAGUCUGAUUCCAUAACAGCAAAAAAAAAAACAAAGAAAAUUUUGAAUUGUAUUAUGAUUCACUAAUUUGAUGUCACAGAUGUGUACAGGAUGCUAGAAAUUAAUUUACAGUAAUAAUCACUAGUCAACCUAAAAUCUAGACAGUCUUUUUUUUUUUUGGUUAUCCAUAUUCUUUUGGGAGAAAGCUCCAAAUAAUGAGUAUAAUCAGCACCUCAGAUGUGAAGUUCCAUGUUAAAUGGCGAAAAUAAAGCAGGCCUAAGAAGACUGACAGGCAAAGGAGGUUGUUCAUGUUUACUGCCCCAUAAAUCUGCACCAAACAAUUCAUAUAGUGUUAUUGGAUUAGAAUAACACAACAGCAACACAAAAUUCACUAAGAUAGAGAAAAGCAGCAACGAAGUAGUCUAACAUCAACUUCUAUACAUAUAAAUUUGUAGGAGAAGAAAACCUCUGAAACUGUUAAAGGAGCAAUCCUCAAUUUCUUUUGGCUGGCAAAGAUUAGAGCAGACACUGCUUCACUUGAGCUAGCAAAAGGCAGAACAAUGAAUGAGACAAAGAAAGGAGGAAUGUUUGUAGCAGAGUAGAAGUUGCCAACAGCAUUGACAAGAGGAUCGACAAAUGUAGCAGCGAUAAGAGUUCCCAACAGCAAUAUAAACACUCCUUUGAAGGCACUCCAUUUGGGAUUUUCAAUCUUCUCAGCCGUAUAAAACUGAAUCCCCAGAAGCUCAUUCCCUUUGCUUGUGGGCUGAAUAUGCAUUUUAAAGAUGUCAGAUUACUAGUAGUGAGGACUUGAUCAGGACUAAACCGAGAAUAACAUGAAACUGACUAACAUACCGUGUUGAAGUCAUCUAUAAUUAUUCUUGUCUGGAAAUCACUGUCACUUGAACAAACUGCUGAAUGCUUAGCCUUAUCAUACCAUUUUGAGAUUCCUAUGAUAAAUGCAUCCAAGUUAAUUUUGGAAUCCCCACAUGCAUCAAAAUCUGUCAAUACUUUCCCAACAGCCUCAUCAAUAUCUGAAUCUUCUUUAAUCUGGAUUCCUGUUAUCAGUGCUCUUAACUCACUAGCCGAAAGCUGCUGAUCUGAAUCCUCUCCAAUCAUCUCAAAUAACCUGUCAUUGUAUCCAAGAAAGAGUUGAUCCAUUGAGAAUCAAGGCUGAUCAGACAAGUUAGAAAGGAAUUUGCUGAGUAUGUGAGGAUUGGAAUUGCUUCAUGCAAUUGAUGUGUUCGAAUCUAAUUUAGAAAAGCCCUAUGACUAGGGUUAAAAGGGACAUAUUCAAAGAGGAAAGAAGUUGAAAUUAUAACAAAGACUAACUUUUUUAUCACUUCUCUAUCAGGUUCCCCAUUAGCUGUUAAGAGCCUCCCCAGGGUACAACAUUUCAAAUGUUUUACAAUUCUCGACAUCAUAUGCUUAUCCUUUGCAUGUGUAAGUCUUGUUUUCAAAACUGAAGGGUGAAAGACCUGCAACAACAUUUGACUGGAAAUUUGAGAAGAUGGCAUAAGAAAAGGUUUGGCUACCAAAAAAAAAAAAGUCAACAAGAAGCAGCCUCUGAAUUUGAGUGGACAAAUACCUGAUGAAGGCAAUAUGCAAGCAAUAAAGAAAUAGAGAUAAUGAGGGAAAUCAAAACUGCUAAGCAAAUUUGUGAAGUUGUGUGGAGAACUUGUGAUAGUUGGAUUAUUAUGAAUGGCAUAACAGAUAUAACCAUGAUCCUUGCUGUAUAGCUAGCCCUGAUAUCAGUACUAGCAGCUGAACCUGAAAAUAGCAAUAAAGGAACAUGCAUUAUGUGCUAGGACAAUAAUCAAGCUAAGCAGCAAUUAACUUGUUAGAGGUAGCCAGAACUAAUAAUAUGCUUUAGCACGUAUACUGAUAUGCACAGAACUAAAAAAAUUUUACCUACUGCAUAACAAACUUCACAUGAAGAAAUACUUAAUUUGGACAGCGAAGAUAAAGAACAAUUAAAUAGUAAUAGCAUUUCAUAAUUCGAAGAUUUGAAUUAAUCCCAGUUGAAAAGUUGCUCCACAAAAUAUUCUUUCACACAUGACACUAACAGAGUCCUAAGAAGUGAAGAGGGGAGGUAAGUACCGACUAAGCUGAAUCCUCUGGCAUUUUUCUCCACAGGUUUUGCCCUCAAAUUUUCAAGAUCACACUUGCCAACUAUGAUGCAGCACCCUCCUAGCAAUGUUAGAAGCAUGGCAGUUGAUCCACCCAGCAAAGCACUCCCAGCUGACACCUGGCUUGAAGCAGUAUCCUUGUUUCCACAUAGUCUGGAUGCUUCAGAAAUGUAAAAGAGCAUUCCGUAAGUGCAUAGAAUGAUUAGAUUACACAUAGGCAUUGGAUCUUCAAGAACACAUCACCUAAACAAUUUCAGUGGAACAAAAAUGAUGAAACUUGACAAUUGGGAGGCUACAGACUAACAAAGGCUCACAACUGGCAUGAAUAACUAUGAAUCAUCUGCACUAGCCCACCCAAUGGCUCAGUAAACUAGAGGGAAAAAAACCAGAUUUAUUUUUGAGUUGAACCCUUGAACUAAUUACAAUUCUUUCUCUCUGGUUGUACAUUUUCAAGUAAACGUAUACAUUUUGUUCCUUUCAUCUGCAUCGAAAUCACUUGAAUUUGCACAUCUCAGCCACUCAUCUUCUCCAUCCAAUCCUCAUUUUGGUCAUUCUUGGCAAUGAAAAUCCUCUGAACUUUUUUCGAGGUUUUCAUCGUUUCCCAUUAGCAUUAUCCUCAAAAAGUUUCAUUCAGGCAUUUCAUCAAGCAGUUUAAACAACUUUCAGUUUCUCUACUCUUUGCUCCUUUUAGUACUUCUCUGUUUUGCAAUCAAACCAUAUCCUUCUAAUUAAGUUGAUACUAUUGUUGAAGUUUUGAUCACUACCUUAUCUACCACAAACAAAAAUACCCUGUUCACCUCCCUUUCUUUCAGUUCAUGCAUUCAAACACAAAAUCUAUAUAAACAAUUAGCCUGCAAGUACAACAGAAUCAUUAUAACAUGCAUGUGAUGCUAAGUGCACAUACCUCCCAAGCUUCAUCUGGUUGAAUUGAACUAAAAAUCAAAUUUAGUUUCCUUAAAACAUCAGAACCACAAAAGCAAAUCCAUUGUCACAAGAGGUUUUCCAAGUUCUCUAGACCUACAAAAGUCUGCAUCUAACACAUGUAGAGUGAAUUUUGUAUGUUGACACUUACACAAGGUUUGUGUAUAUAUAUGUCAUCAGCAUAAUAAUUGACUGGGGAAAAAGAAAGGAAAGUUUUGUUGUAUUUUUCAUAUCAAGGCAAAAAUAUAUAUAUAUAUAUAUAUAUAUAAAUAAAUAGAAACUGUUAGGGUCCCACCUAUUGAUAAUAGUAAUAGUAAUAUAAGGGAUAUCCCCAUACUACAAGCCUCUUUGAUGCAUAUAAAAAAUAUGCUAUGGUUGUUUUUUUUUUUUUUUUUGAUAUUUUUGGAUACUUAUGCCACCAAUUGUCUUUGUGCCACUUGUAUGGUAGAUGUAUGGAAUGUUCUGUAUUUUUUCUUUUCUCCUUGACUACUUUGCAGCUUUAUGUCCAUGGUAUUGGGUCCAGAAAAAUGGCAACUAGUGAAACAAAUAGGAGAAGAAAGAUUAAAAACAUGGCCCCUUUUUUCAUGGUCUUGAAACUAAGAACUUGAAUCAGAGAAGGUGCCCAGAUUGAAUCGAUAAUAUUUUUGGAAUUGCAAAUUCAACAAAUGGGUUGAGAUAUGGAAUGGAUGCAUACAAGUAACUUCUACUUGAUUUGGCUGAAAAUUAAAGUGACCCAUAAUUCUAAAAACAUGAUAGAUUUCAAGAGAGAUCUCAGCUUACAUCAAGCUUACCAAGGAUGAUAAUAGCAUCAGGAAGAGAGCUGAGCAGAGGUAGAAAAACUCCACCAGUAAUCCCAGGACUUAGAAGUUCCACCAGAAUCUCACUUCCAUCAUACAAAAGCCUGGCUGCAAAGAACAUCAAGUAACCAUAAACCAGGAUAAGGAAUACAUUUCCAAACACAGUGGUGGUGCAUGGCAUGACCCCAUGUGUCUGUUUACAGCUAUAUGGUGAAGGCCGGUGCUCAAAAACAACAAAAGCUGGUUGCUGAACCUCUCCACCUCCAUUAGAGACCUGUCCAGAGGAAGAGUAUUUAGGUGCAAUAUAUCGACAAUUCCCAGGGUUCACUUGCAGGAGAAGAAGCAAUUGUAGAAGAAGUAAUGCAUGUUUCUUUCCCAUGUUUGAGCUUGGCUUUGUGACCAGAACCUGAAGGGUCCCAUAUAUAUUGUAACCAUUCUUGUCCUUAUUGUCUUUAAUGGUUUUAUCUUUGAUGCUGGUCGAAAGCUUGUGUCUGGUCGUUGCGCCUUGUAGGCCCACCAGGAACUGAUGAAAUAAUUGGUGCGUGUUGAAUGGGAACUUAGAAAAUGUGAUGGGAAUUAUUUGGCAUGAGAAAAUAUUGUUAAAUAACGUAAAUUACUUUUCCGAAUAAAUACAAAUACGUGGAUGUUGAAGCAAUAUUUAAAAAAUAAAAAAUAAAUAGUGGUUCUUACUUCGUUUUAUUGAAUCAUUUCAAUUGCUUUUCCAAAUAAGAGGUGGAUGCAAUGUUUUGAUAAAAUAAAUAAAUAAAUAAAUAAUGAUUUUUCGUUACCCACACCCAUUUGAAACUCUAAAAUUAAUGUCAAAAAAUUAUUAGUUAAUCCAACAAUCACAGGAUUGUUAAAGAUAAUUUAUGGGAUAAAGAUAAUGUUAAAUGAUACCGAAAAAGUCAAUUCUACAAUUAAUUGAUUAUCAACAUAUUAAGUAUUAUAUGAUGAGCUUGAUUUAGGGUGUUGCACUUUAUUAUUCAUAUUUAAAUCAAUGCCUAUUGAAAAGUAUGAUCAAUCACAACAUGUCAUAUAUAUAAUUUAAUCUCAUGAUUUUAUAUCUCAUUCAUAAGUCAUUAAUUUAUUUGUUUUUAACUUAAUAUGAUAUUUUCCUAUUUGUUUAUACUUGAUCUCAUAUAUUUGUACUUUCAUGAUUAAAAGAUCACUAAGUACUAAUAGCCAAGCAUUUUUCUUCUUAUAUUUACGCGAGUCUUGGUUCAUUUCCACAAUUUAUGAUCAAUCUUCGAUGAUGUAGAAUUCAGGUUAUUUUAACUUGUGAGUCUUUUUCACACAGGAUUUGAAAUAUUAAGAGUAGAACCAUGAUAAUGUAAAUUAGGUAGGAAGCAAUGUGGACUACAACCAAGCCAUAUAAUGUCCAAUACGUUUCUAAAAAUUUUUAUUUUAUGCCCUUACAAGUUUUGUUUUGUUUUAUUUUCAAAGUAACGUGAUGUGUAAGCUUCAAAGUGCUCACGCUCACCUAUCUUAUUCAUAUUAUUAUUAUUAUUGCAAAAUCUUUGAAGAAGUCACUUCUCUUCAUGUUGGAGAAUUGUAGAAGAAGCCAUUGACAACAAAAUCAUGAAUGUUCUUAAGCUACAAAUUAAACUUGACACCAUUGGCACUUUUCUAAUACAAUUUCGCGGCUCCCACACAAAAAUAGUCUUAGGGGAGUGGUCAAUUAUGUGGAUACAAUGAUGAACUCAAGGAAAAUUAUUGAGACAUAUAAGAUCAAAGGUGUAUCAAAUUAAAGCCUUAGUUAUGAUUAGUGAUGUAUAAUCAACUGCAAUAUAUAAUAUUAAUUUAAUUGGAGUCAUAGAACCGAUGGUUACGAUUUGAAAAAUAUUAUAAUUAAUAUAGAGAGACAUGAUGCCAUGGGUGGUCCAAUCCUAUCGGUUAUAUAAAAUAUGAUUUGAUGAAAAGACUAAGAUGAUAUAACAUAAGAAUCUCCUUAAAUAUUUUUCAAUUUUUUAGAUAAAAUUAUAAUUUAUUGAUAGGCUCAAUUUCAAUUGUAAAGUCAAAAACAAAUUACCCAUGAAAAAAAGUGUUUUAAUCAUGACCUUUAAUACUAAUUUGUUAAAAAAGUUGUUCAUCAUAACUUUUAAGACUAAUUUGUGCAUGUGCAUGGCAAUCAAUGCUUAAAAGAAAAGUUGUCUAACCUUUUAUAAGAUUCAUGUGAGUUUGACAAGUGAAGUUGAUGCUUUUUUUUUCUAAUAUCCAUGUAUCUUGAUUAAAAAAAGUUGCUAAAAGAUUAAUGGAGUUGGUUAAGAUAAAAACAAAAAAGAAUAAACAAUUAAAAAUUAACAUAUUUCUUAAUUUACCUUUACUACUUUGUAUUUGUGGAAAAUCUUAUUCAAUAAUUUUUUAAUUCUUAGGCAUCAGAAUGGAUAAUAUUGAAUAACUAAUUUUCCUAAAAGCUUAGAAUUGCCUCAUAUCCAUACAUGAGAAUUUGGAUUCAUAUUCAAUAAAGAAUUACAAAGAGUGAGAUGAAAACAAAUGUGAAAAAUAAACAUACAAAUUACAAAUAGAUGACUUAAACCACAACCUUUUGUCAAAUCAAGUUCUGAUACUACGUUAAAUAACCAAUUUUCCUAAAAGUUUAAUCUUAUAGGAUUUAAAUUCAAUAUGCAUAUUAUGCCUCCUUAUCAAAUAAUAUAUAUUUUUUAAAAAUUAGCGGUAUGUGAUAUGACGUACAUAAAUUUCAAUGGAAGUUAUUAAGAAAAUGCAAUGAAACAUCAAAUACAAACAGGUGUAGAGCUUCAUAUAUAGUCAUCAACUGAAAAAAGAACUGAAAAUAUGGGUGUACCCUUGAUGCUCUUUUUGCUGUCUUUGAACUGAAAAUGUGUCUAUGACCAUCCCAAAUAAUUGUCAAGAACAUACACCAACACCAAGGAUAAUGGGUAAAGCAGGAAGGCCAUCAAGCUUGUCCAAAGAGGGAAAGUUGUACGGGUACCAGCAAAGACUCCCAUCAGUAUGCAUACUAUCAGAAUAAUCAGCACCUCAGAUGCGAAGUCCCAUGUCAACUGGCGAAAGUAGAUGAGACCCAAGAAGACAGACAAGCUAAGGAUGUUGCCCAUUGUCACUGACCCAUAAAUCUGCAGAAAGAAACUCAAUGGUUAUGGAGUAGGCCAUUAUUACGCCUAAUUUUAAGGUUGAGAAGAGGAGAAGCAUACCUCAGAAAAUGUUAAAGAAGCAGUCCUCAACUUCUUUCUGCUGGCAAAGAUCAUGGCUGAUACUGCUUCACUGGAGCUAGCAAAAGGAAGAACAACAAAUGAGACAAAGAAAGAAGGGAUGCUUGUAGCAGUGGAGAAGUUGUCAACAGCAUCAACAAGGGGAUCGGCAAAUAUAGCAGCAACAACUGUGCCCAAAAGCAACAUGGCUACUGCUUUAGAGGCAUUCCACUUGGGAUUUUUAAUGCUCUCCACUUCCUCCUCUUCAUUCUGAUCCUCCAACUUAUCCUGCUCCUCUCUUGUUCGCUGCAUAUGCAUUUUAAGGAUGUCAUAGUACUAAGUUACAAACAUUCGGGACUGGAUAAAGAAAAACUUGACCCUUGACCAUGACAUACCAGAUUGAAGUCAUUUAUAUAUCUUGUUGACAGGGAAUUACUGCCAUCACUGCCAGCAUGAAUUGCUGAACGCUUAGCCUUAGUAAGCCAUCUUGACAUUCCUCUGACAAACUCAUUCAUAUCAAUUUGGGAAUCCCCCGUUGUAUCAAAAUCUUUCAUUACACUUUUCACAGUUUCAUCAAUAUCCAAAUCCGCUGCAUCAAACUGGAUCCCUAUUAUCAGGGCUCUUAUAUCAGUAACAGAGAGGUACCCAUUCGAAUUUACAUCAAUUGUCUCAAAUAACCUGCCAUCAUAUCCAUGAAUUAAAGGGUAUAUUGAGAGAAUCAAGGUUGAUUAAUUUUCAAGUUUCCAGUCAUGAUUUUGUCAAGUAUUUGUGCUUCCCUUCAGGCCUGAGUAGUUUGUUAAUAAGAUCUCAUUCAGUUAAUUUAUGUGCAGAUUCCCAUAGUGCCUAAUUCAGUGAAGUGACCAAGAGACAGAUUCAACUCAAAGUGCAACAAAGACUGACUUUUUUAUGGCUUCUGUAUUAGGUUCACCGUUAUUAGUGAAGAGCCUUCCCAGGAUAUGGGACUUCAAAUGUUUUAAAAUUCCCGACAUUAGAUGUUUAUGCUUUGCAUAUGCAAGUCUUCUCUUCUGAAUCCUAGGCUGAAAGACCUGCAAUGGUGUUGAUUGGAAAAACGCAAAGAAGCUCAGACAACAAAGGAUUUGGUUACUGAAAAAAUAGACAUCUUUCAACAAGAAGCAACAAGGGAAUGUAUAUAAAUCCAAGUAGAUGAACAUAUACCUGAUAAAGGCAAUAUGAAAGCAAUAAAGAAAGAGAGACAAUGAGUGAAAUCAAGACUGUUAAUCGAGCUUGCGAAGUUGUAUGGAGAACUUGUGAUAUUUGGACUAUAAUGAAUGGAAUAACAGAUAUAACCAUGAUCCGAGCCGCAUAGCUGGCCCAGAUAUCAGUACUAACGCCUGAACCUGAAAAGACCAGAAAACACACACACACACACACAUUAUGUACCAGGAUCAUUAUCAGAAAAUUUUGUAUUAACCCCUGUAAUUCUGAAGUCUUGUUUAAUUACUCUUUCAAUUGAAAAGUUCAUCCAGUAAAUAGUCCAUGACUGAUCAAUAAAUGACCAAAUGCAGAGGUUUAUAAAUAAAUGAAGUUGAGGGAAUUACCAGUUAAGCUGAAUCCUCUGGUGUCUUUCAAAUCAGUAGCCACUGAAUUUUCAAUGUCACACUUGCCAACUAUGAUGCAAGAUCCCCAUAGUAUUGUCAGAAGCAUAACAGUUGAUCCAGCUAGCAAGCCCAUACCAAUUGAGACCUGACUUUGAGCUGUUUCUUUGCUUCCAGAUAGCCCAGAUGCUUCAGAAACACAAAAGUUUCACAACAAAAAAGUCAAUAGAAGUAUGAUUAAUUAGACUACAUAAUGAUAGUCAUCAACUGUGUGCAAACACGUUGUUGAAUUUAUUGAAUAGUAUGAAGAAAGUCUAUGAAAAUUAACAAUUGGCAAUAACAAUUGUGAAUUAACCGAAAAACUUGGACUUGGGGUAGCAGCUAUUUUGGAUCUGUUUUUGUUUUAGUUCCAGUUAAGUUUGCCCUCAGAUGGAUCAUUGAGGCUUUCAUCAAUAUCCACACUAUUUCAUGCCAUUUGGCCAUUUGUAAACAACUGAUUUUUUCCUACUAAUACUAUUAGCUUUAUUUGGUUGCAUAGAAUUGGAAUCCAAUUCCCCUGAACCCCACAAUCCAAAAAUAAACAACUGAAUAAAAGAAAAUAGAAGGAAAACCCAUGGUAAAAACAAGGAUUUGAAUUCCAAAUUGUCCAAAUCUGCAGAACCAAGAACAACCCAAAUCUUCCAAAAAUCUAGGAGAUGUGUAGCCCUUAAUCCUAGCUGAUAUCAUUGUAGGCAACUUGAAUCAGUUUUGGAAAAAAAAAUUCAUCUAUCACAUGUGACCAGUCCAUUUUGUGCAUUAAGACUUACAGAGGGUAGAUAUUUAUAUAGUAAGAAAUCUAAUAUUCCCAUUGUAUGUAUUUGCUUACUAUAAUAAUUGCACCCAUCGGAAAUCUCGGAUCUGAUAAUGGAGUUAGUAAGGUUGAACUUUCUUUGUUGGCAAUAAUAAUAAAAGAGAUAAGCACAUGUCCAUGGAAUACUUUUCAUACAUAUGUUUUUCUUGACAACUUGGAACUUAUGUCAAUGGUAUUAGGUAUAGAAAAGUUGCAGAAAGAGAGCAAGUGGGAUUAAUAUAUAUUAAUCUUGGGCCCUCUUGCCAUGGUUCCAAAAAUCAGAACUCAAGUUAGACAAGGUACCCAAAUUGAAUUGAGAAAAAACAAUGUUUACAAUUCAACCUAUUGGUCAAGAACACAGACCAGAAUGAAGAGAAAAGCAAAUGAGAUCAGUUUUAUCAAUUUGGGUGGGAAAAGUGAAUGAUGGAUCAAAACGGUAUGAUGGAUUUCAAGCUUACCAAGGAUGAUAACAGCAUCAGGAAAAGCACUGAGCACAGGCAGGAAAAGCCCACCAAUAAUUCCAGGACCAAGAAUUCCCAGCAGAAUCUCACUUCCAUCAGACAAAAACUUGGCUGCAAUAAACAUCAAGUAACCAUACACAAGGAUUAGGAAGAUGUUUCCCAGCACAGUGGUCGUGCAUGGCAGGAAUCCAUAUGUCUGGUCACAGCUAUCUGAUGAAGCCCAAUUCUUAAAAACAAUAAAUGCUGAUUGCUGAACCUCUCCAACUCCAUCAGAGACCAGACCAUAGGCAGAGUUAUCUGCGACCCCCUGACCCUUUCCGCCAUUGAUCAGCAUCAUGAGAAAGAGAAAGGCUAGAAGAAAGAGAGCAUGCUUCUUUGCCAUGGCUGAGCUUGGCUUUGUGAUCAGAAGCUAAUAUGUUAGGUGUCUUCUGGUUCUUUUCCACAUUGCCUUAAAACAUGCCUCAUACUUGGAGAACUUGUAGGUGAGGAAGAACAGGUGGUAUUGGGAAAUUUAAAAUGGGAGGCUUGAGUCAAGUCAAUGGAAGAGGUUUUACAGAUAUGGGGAAAAAAAAAAUCAAUAGAGAAGAACAAAAAAUCCUAGGUAUGGUAUCACAUCAUGGGAUUUUUAUAAGAGUACAGCAGUUUCAAAAAAUAAUUUCUAAAUUAUCGUAGUAGAAAAAAUAAUUCCAAAUCUACCAUAGUUUUGUCCAAAUAGGAAAGAGAAAAUAACUUGUAAGUGAAAAAUCGUCUCCGAUUUUCAAAAAAUAAAAAAUAAAAAUAAAACAAAGUGAGAAAUUGUCUCUUAAAGAGACGAUUUCCACACAAAAGUGAAAAAUGGGAAAUCGUCUCUUCAAAAGACGAUUUCCAUGUGAGAAAUUCUCACUUCAAAAAAAAAAAAAAAUCUUCAAAAAUCCAUUUUUUCAUUCUUUAUUUUAUUUAUACAAUAAUACAAUUAUUGUAAAUAUAUAUUAUGAAAUUAAUUAAUUUUAUUUACUAAAUUUAAUAUAUAAAUAAUAUACUAAAUUUAAUAUAAGAUAAAUAAUUUAUUAUUUUUUUCUCUUACUUUGGAAUUAAAAAAAAAUUAUUAUCAAUUAUGUGAAAAAUGAGUUUUAAAAACAAUUGUUAUUAAUUUAUUAAAUAAUUAUUUAGUAUAUUAUUUAAAGAAACCCAAGUAGAAACCGUUUCUUCAAGAGACGAUUUUCACACCACCUUUAAAAGCGAGAAAUUCUCACUUUAAACAAAAAAAAAAAAAAAACCCUUCAAAAAUCCAUUUUUUCUUCUUACUAAAUAACAUACUAAAUUUACUAUGGUUUUUUUUUUUUUUGAAGUGAGAAAUUCUCACUUUAAAAGGUGGUGUGGAAUCGUCUCUUCAAGAGACGAUUCCCACUUGGGAUUUUUUUAAAUAAUAUACUAAAUAAUUAUUUAAUAAAUUAAUAACAAUUGUUUUUAAAAUUCAUUUUUCACAUAAAUUAAUAAUAGUUUUUUUUUUAAUUCCAAAGUAAGAGAAAAAAUAAUAGAUUAUUUAUCUUAUAUUAAAUUUAGUAAAUAAAAUUAUAAUAUAUAUUUAUAAUAAUUGUAUUAUUGUAUAAAUAGAAUAAAGAAUGAAAAAUGGAUUUUUGAAGGCUUUUUUUUUUUUUUUUUUGAAGUGAGAAUUUAUCACAUAUAUAUUCUUGAAGAGACAAUUUUUCACUUGCAAUUUAUUUUUUCUUUCCUAUUUGGACAAAACUACUGUAAAUUUGGAAUUAUUUUUCCUAUUACGAUAAUUUAGAAAUUAUUUUUUAAAACUACCGUACUCUUAUAAAAAAAUCCUCACAUCAUGGUGAAUGAGUUAAUUACAUACCAAUGUAUCAUACCAUAUCAAAUCUAUAGUACCAUUUGUCAUAUUGUUGUUUAGCCCAGAUUUCAUGUGCCUUUUUUGUUAUUCUUUUAUUUUUAUAAAAUUAUAUGUUCAUGAAAUAAUGACUAAGAAAUAGAGAGGGGGUGUUUUCAAAUUUAGGGCAUUGUUUAGCUGUACUGAAAUAAAUUUGAUACUAUCUAUUUAAAACUCAAAGUCAAUUAGUAACUAGUACAAUAUCAAUUAGGAGCGAUUUCAUGUAAUUCUAAGUUGUUAAUUAACAUAUGUGUGAUUUUAUUUUUUUUAGAAGCAUGACAUUGUUGAGCUUUAGUCGAGGUAAACUUGAUAUCAGAUUUUGAUUAAGAUUAAUCGUGUUUAUAUCACGUUAACCCCCUUUGUAGGGACCUCUCCCCCUGGGAAACACGUGGCACGCAGCUCAUGGUGACGCGUGGCACGUGUUAUCAGCCGAACCAUCAUCAUCCGGAUUCCCCUAAGGAUAUGCAUGGUGCAGUUAUCCUAUCCGGACCGCCUCAAGGAAAGGCAAACGACGUUUCAGCUUCUCCUAUCCAAGGAAGAGCAAACGACGCUGGCAGAGCGUAGACAUCCGGAUAGUCCCCACAACACAUCCGGAUAAUCAGCAUGAGCCAUCCGGAUAUAAAUCGUCUGGAUGGUCAAUUAAAGUAGCGUAGACAUCCGGAUAGUCCCCACAACACAUCCGGAUAAUCAGCAUGAGCCAUCCGGAUAUAAAUCGUCUGGGUGGUCAAUUAAAGUAAAGUGAGUCUUACACGCAAUCACAACAAGCAGCCAUGGCCCACAUCUUGUCACCUGCAGAGUGAAAAGACAAGAUGAAGUGAUAGCAAGUCACUUCCCACGAUCAUUCUACAUGAUCACCUUCCCACAAUCUCUGACAGCCGCAUCACCUACCAUAGUUUCUGACAGUCGUUCGUAGGGUGAUAAUGCUCCUACUAACACCUAUUGUCAUCAUCACAACAUAAAAUAUCUCCUCACCAUUAAUGAGAGGAACAGUACCCCUGAAGCUGUAUAUAUAUGCCUUCGCACGAAGAAAAAAGGGAUCCCCCUGGUAACCUCUUGAUACCUAGUAAAAGGCCAACUAAUUUAUACAUCUCUCUCUCACCAUGGCUAACAAAACCAUCGGAGGGUGCGUCCGGACACCUUGUCCGGAUGCCUUUUGCAGGUGCAACCGCUGAAUCAAGAACCCCUUGUGUGUUGAGAAUCACGUGUCCAUCCAUAUAGUAGCAACGUGGACCACCGGAUACGCGAGGCGACAACACCCUUAACCUAUUCUUGAUUGAAUCCUUUUAAUUCAGACACAACUCACGGAUUUAAUUCAUCGUGUCUGUUUUAACAUAAUUAUAACUCAACCAAUAAUAUAGUAGUACUAUGAUUCAACCCAUAUAUCACCCACUUAUUCUUAUAUAUGGUAAUAAAUUUUAAGAUUAGAAAUAAGGUUGUUAUUAAUAAGUUAUAUUAAUUUUAUUAUUUUUUAGAAACCAUUUAAAAAAAAUAAAUUAUUUUACAAUUUAUCCAAAUUUAGAGUUUGAAUGAGUUGCAUGAGUCAAAAUCAUAUUAAUUGUAUCAUACUUAUAUUUGGAUUAUUAGUUUUGUAUCAAGCUAAUAUAGUUUAAUUUAACUUUGUCAAAUAAUUUGUCCUAUCAUAUUACCUAUGUAAUAAAUAAUUCAUAUUUGUGUUAAAAAAAACUAAUAUUAUUAUUAACUGAAUUAAUUAAAAAAAACCUUUAAUAUGAUAUAAAAUUUGCAACAUGACUUAGAGUUUGUUUAAUAGUAUUUUAAAAAAAUAUUUUAACAUAAAAAAUAAACUAUUUUUGGAGAAAAAUCAUAUAGUUUUCAAAAAUUAAAAAUAUUUUUUAAAAAAUUAAAAAAAUCACUUGUAAUAUUUUAUAGAUGAUGCACCCAAAAGCACUUCUAAAUAAGGCAUUUUAACUAAAAACACCUCAGAUAUAAAUGUUUUCAAAGACACCCUUAAUUACCAUUCUUCGUAAUAAUGCCAAGUUUUGUAAGAAGGCAUGAAUUUAAAUAUUUCUUCUUAUUUAUUUAUUUUCCUAUUUAUUAAUGAAACUUACAUGUGAGCCAAAAAUAAAGGGCACAUGGGAUAGUGUUUUACUAUAUAACUCUGAUACAAAUAAUAAUAAUUGUGUCAAAAAUAUAAACUUAAAUACUACUUAAUUAUUAAACAUAUAACACAUCGUAUAUCUUAUUUAACCCAUUUAAUAAUCAAGUUAUUCUAUUUAAUAAUUAGGUUGGGUUAGGUCUUAUAAAUGUCUACAUGAUUAAUGCCUCAACUAAAUAUGUUUAUGAUUUAUUAGACUUAUUUAUUUAAAAAAAAUCAAAUAUAGGUGAAAUAAUUUAAAAAUAUAAUUAAGUUAAUAAUAAAAUUAUUAGACGGAUCAAUUCUCGUAAUAUGGAGGUUGAUCUAAAAAUUACUUAUUUAUUAAAGGAGUGAUGUAAAUUAAUUUGAAUUUGAUUUAAACUCAUUUAUAUUCAAUUUAAAUUCACGAAAAACAUUGAUGUUAAGCUUUGUGACCCCUAAUCAAUAGAUUAAGGAGGAAAAUUAAUACCAAUAAAUGACAUAACAAAAUAAAAAUAAUAGGAAGUUAGAUAUGGUAGAUGGUACAAUGAAAGUGGAAAUUGGAAACAAAAAUUGUAAAUUGACUAUCUUGACCCUCCUACAAAAAAAGUAGAGAUACUAGAAAUAGGAAGGCGAAUCGCUGGUAAGCUCUUGCUCACUUCCUUUGAUGGUGAAUUUCAGAGUGGGGAAACCAACGGUAAAACCAUCACGCCAAUCACCAUGUCCUCUCCUUCCGAUUCUCAGGGUCCGGAUGAGGCUCUCAUCACCCAAAACCCUAGCAUGCCCACUGAACAACAUCCACAAUCUCAAGCUCAAACUCUCUCCCUUAAAACCCUAACCCUAGAAAUCGCCGAUCCCCAAAACCCUGAACCAAGUGAACAGUCACACCCUCAACACCAGCAAAUCUCUAUCGAAGAUGAUCAAGAUGACCCAGAAGGUACGUCUCCUUCUUCUUCAUCAAUUUCCGUUUCACACAUCACCAUCACCAUCCCCGACUCAUCUGCCCCUCAAAAUCCUCCUCUCACCACGCCCACCAAUGCUCGCCGUUCACUCAAGCGCAAGAAGGGAGCUCAGUACAAGCGACGUACUGCUCUUGAAAAAUUUCAGCAGCAGAAACUUGGUGCACUUAUUAAAACCCUAAAUCCGAUCCCCUUUGUGCCUAAUAAAACCCUAGAUUUUUCCAAGCAUGAGUCGCUGCUUAAUCGUCUUGGGUUGUGGGAAUUUGUUCAUAUUGAGUUUGAUCAGACCAUUCGCACAGAUCUUCUUGCGCAGUUGAUUGCAAAUUAUACGCAGAGUGCGAGAGGCAGUGUUGUUAAUGGGGCUAAGAUUAAGGUCAAUAGGGCUGAUCUUGCUCGGGCGAUGAAGUUGCCGGUGAAGAAGGAGAAGGUCAGUGCAUCGUCGGAGGGUGUCUUGGAGGCUCCGGCGGCAGAGGAGGCGAUUGGAUUUAUUGAGGAUUUGGUCUCAAAUUGGGUGCUUUUACACGAGGAUACGUGGAUGAUGCCAACGGAGGUUUUGACUUGGACGCGGGUGAUUAAGGAGGGGCACCCGGAGAAGGUAGAUUGGGCGGGGUUGAUAUGGUUUAUGGUGGAGAAGGAGUUGCAUGCAGAAGAAUUGGUGAAUUGUUACUAUGCUUCACAUUUGCAGUGUUUGAUAAGAGCACAAAAGGAGGAGCUUUUGAGGGCAGAGGCUAAGGAUGAGGUUGAAGUGAAGGAGGAAGAGGAUGGUGGUGAUGUGGAGAUGGGUGAGGAGGGUGAUUUUCCAGAUCGUGAAGCAGAUGAUGAUGAUGUGAAGAUGGAUGAAGAUGUGAAGUUGGAUGAAGAGGUGAAGAUGGAUGAAAAUGUGAAAAUGGAUGAAGAUGUGAAGAUGGAUAAAGAUGUGAAGGUGGAUGAGUAUGUGAAGGUGGGUGAGGAUGUGAAGGUGGAUGAAGAUGUGAAGGUGGAUGAAGAUGUGAAGGUGGAUGAGGAUGUGAAGGUGGAUGAAGAUGUGAAGGUGGAUGAAGAUUUGAAGGUGGAUGAAGAUUUGAAGACUGUGGGCUUGGAUGAUAUUCAAGGACAUGAAUUGGAGGAACAUAAUAUUCAAUUACGUUUGGGUCAAGAUGGCGUUGGGAAGGAAAAGGUAAAGGAUGAGGACAAUAUGGAUUUUGAUGAGUGCAAGGAGCAAGAACCUGGGCAGUGGUUCUUGGACGGGAAGAAUGAUGAUAAUGAACCAUACUUGCGUCCUUGUACUCUUGAUGACCUUAAGGGUUCAGUUUGUGAUGAGGAAAGGAAACAAGAAGAAGAUGAAGAAGAAGAAGGAGAAGAGGAAGAAGAGCAGGAUCGUGGUUUUAAUCUUUCACCAAAAUGUGGCAAUUUAGCUGGUCUAUCCUCGGAGAACCUUAUUCACGCAAUGGAAGCAUCACAAGUUCCUUUUAAUUCAUCAGUGCAGCUUCGUGAUCAUUCUUCCAUGGAGCUUCUCUCAUCAAGGGCUGAAGCAAAUAUGAUUCCAGGGGGUCCAUCCAUUUUCAGUAACUCUAGCAAGAGAGAUAUCAGCCAUGAACAUGAUAUUUCUCAUCAAUCUCUAAAUAGUAGUCAUAAGAGGUUGAGGAGUGACUUUGACAUGUGUAUGGAGCAAAUAGAGCAUUGGAUGGGAAAGGCCAAGAUGCUUCAUCAGGCAAAAGAACAAGCUUAUGCUGAAUCAAGUAUGAAUCAGCAAUUCUUAAUUGGUGAGCUGCAACAGCGAGACAACCUGAUUGAACUUUUGCAGAAAGCCAAGUUUGAGGAGUUUCAGAAAAGAGAAGUGGAAACAUACCGGCGGGAUCGUGAACUUUUUGUGAUGGGAAAUCUCUUAGAGAGCUAUAGGAAGGCUUUAAGAGAAACACAGCGGGCAUUUUCUGAAUAUAGAGCACACUGUCCACUUCCUGAUGAGCCACUUUACAAUGAUGUUGGUGAGACAGGGGGUGUUGUUCUGAGCACCAUGGAAUUGGAAAAACAACGUCGGAGGCAGGAAGAAGAAUAUAGGAUGAACUGUUUGCUGGUGGAACAAAAGAUUAAGGACUUUGAGGUUGUGUGGUUCAACAAAUUAGAAUUGCAUCUGAAUGUGGUUCAUAUGCUUGAUAGCAGGUUGAUGGAUGCUGAGAAGCAUGUAAAACUUCUCAAGGAAUCAUAUGCUAAACGGAAGGUUUCAGAAACAUCAGAACCUGCUCCAAAAGAAUGAUAAAUCGUCUAAAAGGUUUUUCCGUUUGGAAGUUAUCAAAAUGUCAGUGAAGGACAAAUCAUAAUUGUAAGUCCUCUUUAGAUUUUGGUGUAGCUUUUUGUAUCCUUAUAUAAUACAUGUGAUGCUGCAUUCAAAAUAUUGCUGAACUACAGACCAAUACGUAACUGUACUACUAACUGGAAAUUUGCUUUAUGGUCUCUGCUGAUCUUUUGUCUUUUAUCAGUCAUAUUUUUUUUCCUGGGCCAUAUUAUCAUAUACAUUUGAAACUGAAACCCAAGUGUGCCUUGGCCUCCUCUGUAUGUCUGUGGAUUAUGGUCAAUUUGUGGAUUCUAUUCGGAGUCCAUUUGGUCAUUGAUUGAUUGGAAUAUUAUGGAGAGCAAAUAUCUUUCAACUCUAUAUUCAGUUCUCUAAAAGCUAAUCCAAGUGUAUAGUACAGAUUCAGAUGGUGCAGGAAAUGGAUAUGCCAACAUGGAAAAUUCUGGAGAAGUACAUGGACAUGAGAGGGCACUAUCCACAAUGUUUUAAUAUAUAUACAUUUGCAUAAGUUAGGCUUGAAUUUCUUUUCCUUUGUUUUGAUCAUGUUUGUAAUUAGGGAAGCAUUACUCAUCCUUCUCUUGUUUAUUCCUUUUUAAUGGAAAUGUUUUUAUCUUUGAUCCAACAAAUAAAAAAUGAAAAAUCUUUGCAAAAGUUUGGUUAAGUUUGUUAAAGUUUUUUUAUGAUUUUUCUUUGAAACUAUAUUUUUUUUAUAUGCAAAGAAAAGAUUAAUUCUAUUAAAAGCGCUUAGCCAAAGAGUACACAAAAGUAUGCACAAUGUAUACAAAGAUGCUUAAAAGCUAAACAAAGCAAAGAGAGACACAAAAAACAAUAUUUUCUCCAUACUUAGAGCUCAAUCAACCAAUGAAGUCCAGUAUGGACAUUGAGUAAUAACCUAUAUAAACUCCUAUGCACCCCAAGAAAUUAUACAUAAAGAUUGUUUGUUGCUUGAUCCCCAUUUUCAAUAUUUUCAAAAGCUGUCCAAUUUCUCUCAUUCCAUAUUGUCCAAAAUAAGCACAAAGAAGUUGAUGUCUAAGCUUUCUUCCUCCUUUUUUCUGAUAAAGGAUACAAGCAACCCAAAAGGACACUUCUAACUAAGGAUUGCAUCACCCGCUUUAUACCAAAAAGGGCAUAAAUGAGUUCCUGCAAAAUGACUGCCUUUGAAACUAUACUCCUUUUUCUUAAGUGGAAUGUUGUUUCAUUUGCUAGCAUUCAACAAGGCUUCUGUUGUCCAAACCUUUGAAGCUCCUAAAGUCCUAAUAGCAAGGAAAAUGAUAAAACAUUUAUUUGAAUGUUAUGUAGAUUUCAGACUUUUGAACCCCCUAAAGUCCCUAAUAGUGAGUUCUUGUGCCAUUUGCUAUUUGGCUCUAGGUUCAUGCUGAGCAUUUUCUAACUUUUAAUAAUUGUUUUCCUUUCUUAUUCUGUAUUGAUGUUUUUCAUUUCAUCCAAUUCAGCCACAAUAGUAAAAAACUUAAAAUACAUUAUAGAAUCAUAUGAUCUCCUUGUGGACUUAAGGUGUGCCCCCUUUUUCUAGACACCUUCAAUUUGAAUUGUGGUGUGGCUAUCCAAAAAAAAAAAAUUAUAUAUACAUAGAUAAAUAGAUAGAUAGAUAGGUAUCAAACAAAGACAUUGAUCCUUUACUUAUGUACAUGCUAACCCAAGCUGAAAAAUUACAAAGGAAUGUAAGUUUUAUUUUUUGAUCAGUUUGCCCCUUAUUUUCAAAAGCUUUUUAAUUUCAUCCCUGCCAAAUUGUCCAAAAUAUGCAAAGGGGGGUGGUUUUCCACACAUUUUUCCUUUCCUUCCCUACAAAGAAACCAUGCCAACUAAACAAGAUAUCUUUCACCAAAGAAGGGAUCGUCCAAACUACAUCGAAUAAGGAGAACAAGAGAUGUCAUAGAAUCCUUGCUUUAGUGCAAUGAAGUAGAAUAUGGUCAAUAGACUCCCCCUCAAGUUUGCAAAGAAAUCAUCUAUUUGCUAUCAGUCGCCGUCUUUUGGAGAUUAUCUAAAGCCAACUUUUCCCCCAAUUGGCUUCCCCCCCAAAAAAAAGCUUACUUUGGAUGGGACCCAUGAAUUCCAGAUAAUGUUUGUUGGAAAGUGGAUUACCUUCCUCAUUUCCUAGACUGAAUAGAAAGGUUUGAUUGAAAUAGACCCUUUUUAGCAUCCUUCUAGAUCACCUUGUUAUUAUCUUCCCUUCUAAACGUCUUCAUUAGCAAGUGGCAGUGUGGAGAAAAAGGUCUCAACAAUGUCCAACUUGUAAUCAUUAAAGUGCUUGGUGAAACACAUAAUCCAAUGACCCCCCGCUCCUAAGUCUUCACAUAAAUUUGUUGCCCAGGCCUCCUUUGACAAACCUAACAUGGGCGCACGCACAUAUGCAUAGAUAUAGCGUACACACUCACUCACACACACACAUUAUAGAGAGCCCUUUCAUUUUGAAUUAAAGAAUUAAGAAUGAAUCAAAUCUCCCCAAGUAGGUUUGGAACCUACGACCAAUCUGUUAAUAGUUGACUACUCUGCCACUGAGCUACUGAGGAACAAAGAAAAGAUUAUAGGAAGUACUAGUUUUAGAAUCUAAUUGAACCAAAAGGGUGUGGCGUUUGGGUGUUUGCUCUUUCGAAGGAAAGAGAUUGCAACUGAGGUGGCCUUGAAGUUGGUUGUUUCUGAGAAAGGGCUUGUACAAAAGAUUUUGGGUGAGACUGGUUGGACUGUCAUUGCCCUUGUGGGGUAAGGACUUCUUCAAGAGAGUGGGUGAUACUUGUGGAGCUUUUGCAGCUAUGGAUGUGGAUAGCCAAGAGAUGCCAUUUACAAUGGACUAGAAUUCUAGUAAGCUCCAACAGGAGGGUCCCUAGUCCCUAUGAUCUUGCAUGUGGUGGUAGGGUUUUUAGUCUUCGUUGUUCAGUUAUGGUGGGAGAUCCCACCAUGGGAGUUGGUGUUUGUUUCGAAGGAGGGUUGUAGGGUAAUGGAGGUCAAGGAUGACAACGAGGGCAUAGUUUUAAAAGGUGUGCUUUAAGUGCACCUAGGCUCAAGGCACGACCACUCCCUAGUUAUAAUGCCUCUCUUGCCAAGACAUGUGCCUUAUUGAAGAGGCAUGCCUUAUCAACUUUGCUAUUCCUUUUUAAAUGCUAGUCUAGAAAUUUCUAGUUGUGUAUUGAAACUUAUAUAAUUUCAUUUUUUAUUUAUUAAAUGCUUCUUUUAAAUGUUUGGAAUCUUAAAUUUUUUAUUGAUUAGAUUAGAUUUGAAUCAUAUUUUAUAAGAUUGAUAUGCAUCCCAGGUCGCAUUUCACUUCACUUAGACACACACCUUGUGUUGCACCUUGUUCCUAAGCCAUAAGAGACUUUUGCGCCUUAGGUGCACCUUGCGCCUUUUAAAACUAUGGGUGAGGGAAGGGCACACACAGAGUGAAGUGGAGUUAGAGGUUGGGAAGCGUGCAAAAAGUUUGGGGCAGUCUAAGGUGCUUUUGCGUGCAACCCAAGUUGCUUUUACAUGUUGCCCAAGUUUCAGAUGGCGCAAUUUUUUCUAUCUACACUAGAGCUUUGGAGGCUAGUGGAUAGGUUCGGAGGAUAGUCUCUAAGCCUCCUUGUUUGGCUUGAGUUGGGCUGGUAGGCCAAGCAGGUUCAAGGCCUCUUUCUCCUAUAGCUUGAGUUGGAAGGCCUUGAGUGCUUUAGGCCUUGCUCUUUGUCUAUUGACCUAGACCAACCUGUGUACUUAUGUUGUGCUUCCUUUUGUUGAGUACUUGUUAAGCUCCUGUUAGAUUCAAUUAUUGUUUGCCUAUAAAAUGCAGCACAGAAUAUAGAGGAGAACAUGCAUAUUUUGACCCUUUUUUUGUGUAUUUUGAGAAAAUUAAUUUUAUAUUUCAUUUUUAUUUGAAGGAUUCUUUUACUACAAUGUGGGGAGAUGUUAUUACAUGGUUAAAAAAAGUGUUUAAAUUUUGUUUCUUUCUUCUGCCUCCCCUGAUAAAAAUCUUCCAUGGCAUGAUAUUUAUUUGUGAUCUCUGCAUUGAGGAAAGUUUGACCAUCACAUCUUUUCUUCCUUAUAUUUGUCAGUUCAUGGAGAAUUCUCUGUUGAAAAGUUGGAAAUUGGGAACAAGUUGUAGCAACACAUUGAGCAUGAUGUAACACACAAUGACAACUAUAACCUGAUGUCCUCAUAUUUGCUAUACCUUUGGGUGCAUUGUUUCUUACCAUCCAAUAUGCUGUAGUAGAAAGUGUUGACUGGCUAGCAUUUUGUUUCUUACUAUCCCGUAUGUUCAUGUUUGAACAAAAGUUAUUUGUUGGAGCCUGGUGUUGGUUUUACUAAUUUAUAUGUUAAUUUUAUGAAAAUUGAACAAUAAUAUAACUUCCAUUAAUAACCUCAUGUGAGUGUUAUUAUUACCUUCCAUUUCUUGCUUGGACUGGUGAAUUAUGAAAUAAGUGAUAAAAACCAAAAUAGUUUUUGUUUGUUGUGUUUUGUUUAAUCUACUGGAACAAUUUCCAGUUAUCUACAUAGUGGGGCCAAACUAGCUGUGGCUGAGUGUUUUUUGCAGGCUAAUAAUGGGUGAGACCCAGGAUAGACUCUGAGAGCACAAGCCCUUGAGGUAGAUUAGUGUGGUGGUCAAUAAAAGCUGUUAUGCAAUGUUGCUCUUAUGUUUAAACAAAACAAAUUCCAACCCCAUUUUCCCCUCCACCUCUCCCUCCCCUUGCAAAACUCAAUUAGGGAUCUCAGACUCUGUUCCUGUCACCAGUUCAAUCUGGGGUUUUAGCUUAUGCUGGAAUCUACUCAACAUUCAUUAUACUUGGAUUAUAUUUAUGCUAUAUAUAACCUUUAUUGUGGCCUGACCUGCUCUGUAAUUUAGUACUUGUGGGGCAAGAAAGGACUUUGAAUUUCUUUGAAUUUUUAUGAUGUUGGACAACCUAACUCUUCAUAGUUAUCUUAUGAGCAUGUGCCACUGGAGGAAAUUGGUAUUUGUUUAAGGACCUAGACAAUUUUGCAUAUGUCGAGCUACUCUUUGUUUAUAAGAUUUACCAUGAUGUAGCAUGUCAUCUGGGUCUUUGGAGAGUGUUUGAUCACUAUAUUAUGCCAUCAUGUGCCAGUGAUUUCAUUUUAGAAUAUUGUUCCCUCAAAGAGUUUUUCCUUCCAUCAUGCAGGUUAGCAUUAGUAUUUUAUGAAUCAGCCAUUCACCCCUUCUGUGCUGCCAAGCUUUCAAGUUAAUGGCCUUUUCGGCCUGCUGACCUCGCAGGGUUUUGGAGUGGUUGAUGAUAAUCAUGUCACAGCAAUUUGUGUUCCGAAUGGAAGAUGGAUGAGCAUACUUGCCACUCAGUUGAUCAUUGCUACUAGCAGAUUAAAUAUGUUGUAUAGACCUUGAAGUAGAAUUCUGUCUAGGAUGACCGACUUUAAUCUUAAAAAGGUUAUUUCUUAUAUAUUUUGUAUGUGCUUCUUCACCCUGCAGCAAUAUUUGUCUCCUUUUUUCCUCCAUUUCUAUCCUUAAAACGCAAGAAACAAGUUGUUUAAUGGUGGAGGUCCAAUAAAAAAAUAAAAAAAUAAAAUCAAUUUUAAUAUUAAAACAUCUGGCAUGAGCAAGAAAGAAAGAAUCAUACAUAAACUGAUAAAGAAUUUCAAAACUCAUCCCCUAGAUGUUCUUGGGAUCCAUAACAAAUACAGUUGGCUGUCAAAAUUCUUACUUUCUUUUUCCCACACCUCGGCAAUCAAAUGAGGAUGAACUUUCCUGGAAAUUGACCCUUAGAAUAGAUCUAGAAAGCACAGGGAGCAAAAAAAAAGCAAUUUUUUUGGUUUUUCUUGGGGGUUUUGCAUGGAUUUUCUCGGAAACCAAACAAGGAUGAAUUUUCCUGGAAAUUGAAUGGGGGCGGUGGCGAGAACAGAUCCAGAAAGCGUAUGGAACAAAAAAAAAGCAUUUUUUUUUGUUUUCCUUGGGGGUUUUGCAUGGAUUUUCUCAGAAACCAAACGAGGAUGAAUUUUCCUAGAAAUCAAAUGGGGGCGGUGGCGCGGUGGCGAGAACAGAUCCAGAAAGCGCAGGGAGCAAAGAAAAAGCAAUUUUUUUUUGUUUUCCUUAGGGGUUUUGCAUGGAUUUUCUCGAAAACCAAACGAGGAUUAAUUUUCUCACAAAUCGAAUGGGGGAUGGAGACCCCUAGAACAAAUCCAGAAAGCACAGGGAGUAAAAAAAAAAAAAAGCAUUUUUUUUUUUUUUGUUUUCCUAGGGGGUUUUGCAUGAAUUUUCUCAGAAAUCAAAUGAGGAUGAAUUUUCCCGGAAAUCGAAUGGGAGAUGGAUUUUCUUGGGGAUCAAACGGGGAUUUUUUUUUGCUUUCAUUGCCGCCGCCCACAUUCGAUUAUUGGGAAAAUUCAUCCUCUGUUGAUUGCCGACAAAAUCCAUGCAAAACCCCCAAAGAAAACCAAAAAAAAUUGUUUUUUUUGCUUGCUGACAGGAAAACCUAAAGGAUAAUUUUGGAAAUAAAAAUUUGAACAGUAAAUAGUACAUGAAACCUAUAAUAUUUUUUUUAUUACUCUCAUAUUUAUAUGGAUUUCCAAAAUCAGAGCAUAUAAACACAACUUUCCCAAAAUAAAGCACGAGGUAGCAGAAAUAAAUUGUUCUGGGCUUUAUUUCCUGUUGGCCCAUUUAGGAAAGGAGGAACGCAUAAAAAAUGUGAUUGUCGGGUUGAGGGUAGCUGGGUAGGCGUUGUUGGGCCUUCGGAGUCCCGGCCCGUUAUCCUUCCACCGAAGAGAGCGGGAAGUGAACGCUGCUCUGUGAAACCAGCCUCACGCGGUGCCCUCCAUCUCUAAGAACCCUAAGACCCAGACUUUCGCCCGGAUCGCGGGGCUCAACUCCCCACUUGGAAUGGGCGAACCAGGCCAAUUACCCCAUCAGGCCUUACCAACCCAGCCAGACCAAUCUCCAACCACACUGAUGCCCUCGCUUGAGUCACAAACUCUCGCUACUGAGUUCGGCAGAUGGAUGUCUACACCACAGAUAUUUUAAAGACUUCUUUUCUUGUAUUUCUUUUCGAUGUGGGACGACCUAGAGAAUUCCUGACUCAUUCUUCACCACACAUAUAGGGAAAGCCAAAAAGGGAUAUGAUAUGCUGCCUUUCUUGAACUUUGCUUACAAGAUCGAAAGUAAUUUUCCUUCGACAUGUGUGGCCUGUAUCAAAGAAUAGGAAAAUUAACGCAUAAUUAACGCAUCCUCCAUCCCCUCGAUGCAAAGGUGUUUUGGUAGUCAAAACCUACUUCUCCAAUACUGGGAAAAUAUGUUUGGCUUCAUUAUUCUCAUAAUUCACUUGGGGAAAACCAGGGAUCCAUUUUUACCUUCCAGGCCUAUGAAUGCUUUGUGCUUCUUUCAAUGGGGACAAGAACAACCAUUAGGAAUUUAUCACACAACAAUGCUCCUAAGUCCUAUGGUGGCCUCUAUCAGUGGGCAACAGUUGCUAGAUUUUGAGGGCUUAACCAGUAGCUUCAAUUUUAAGGAGGAGACAUUUUGCUCCACAACUCAUUUACUGGUCCUUAUUGUGGUUGGGAAGAUUUACAGAGAUCUGAGGUCUUGGUCAGAAGAAUUGGGCUUCUUCUUUGUGAAGGGAGUAACUCUAACAAAUCCUCGACUACAUUUAGAAUUUGUGAAUAUCUGAGAUAUAAUCAUCUGGGAUGAUCCAAUUGCUUGUGGAAUUACCCCUUUAGUAGGGCUGUUUGUGGAAUUAGUCAUUUCAUCAAGUUAUACAGUCUGUCUCACCAGCUUACUCAACCAGGAAUGCCUUCAUCCACAGACAAAGUUGAAACGCUGAAGAGCGCGGAGAACACGAGUUGGGUCAUUUUUUAUGUUUUCACCCAAAAAACAUCCAGAGAGUGUAUUGAGGGGAUGACUAUCCUCGAGCCAGUCAAGCUCUCAUGAGCAGGGAGAUACUGGUGGACUUUCUUGAAGUUCCAUGUGUUAAAAAUGUUCCUUGCCAAAUAUUGCAAUGAUUUUGGUACUUCGAACAGUCAUUCAAAUUUGGAGGUUUCGGAUGUGAAGCAAAUUCAGGCUCUUCCAUUCAUCUCUGUAUGGUUUUUCCAAGGGUGCUCUGGGGCUUCAUUUCUAAAAACAUCUGAGUGAAAAUUUGUGAGAGCUAGAGAAUCCAGUGGUCUCCUCUGCCUGCAUGAAGAUAUAUAGUUUGAGGAUGGAUGACUUCAGGGGGGUUCUCUUUUGUGAUCAUCCAUUUUUUUCUCUAAAUAUUCCACCAUGUUUACUAAACCUGAGCUGUUUUGAGGUCCAGUCCACCAUUUUUGUCACCACAACAAUUCUUCUCGGGGCUCAUUUAAUUCAUCAUACAUAACUGCUAUAAGAGAGACUAACUCAUACAAACAAAGGUAGUUGGGAGUCUCCUGAUCACAACCCUUCAACAAUGAAGGUUAGACAACCGACUGUUUUCUCUAUUAUACCAAAAUACUAAACCUUUUUAUAUAACAACUUUUGUUAAGAAAAAUAAGAAUAAGUUUCACUACAACUUUUAUAGUACUUUGGGUUAGUCUGGACACAUGAAAAUUAUCAAAACUAAGCCAAAGUGGAUUACUUGUUACCUAUAUUCUAAAAUGAAAUUAUCAAAUACUCGAAAGGUUUUUUACUUUAUCAAUUCAAGACUUGGGGUUUCACAAUUCAACUCUAGGAAUAGAACCCUAGAGUGAACAACAGUUUUUCCUUUAUGAUGAUCUUAAGGUUUUAAUGUAUAAUGAUGGAUUGAAAUCAAUCUAAGUUCUAUAACUUAGAGUUGCAUUCCAACCCUAAUUUAUGGUUCAAUCCCGAUACCUAAUUAUCAUCAAAUAAAUGAAACUUUACUACUCUUGUAGAUUUAUUGUACAAUAAGUGAUGGGAGAAAUAACAUAAAUAACUAUGGAUCAAGAAUUUCUAGUUUCCAUAUUGAUAUACUGUAUCAUCUCCUAAUUCAAAUUAUCUUGAAGAGUUUCUUGUUUUCAACAUUUUUACCUUAAAUUUUUAAUAAUGUCAUUACUAAUUCCUUUUUCCUAUUGUUUCUCUUUUAGAUUUCUAACCUUAGAUUUUCAUAUUUCACAUCCCAAUAUGGCAUUUACCCUCUCAUAGUGGUAUUGUCACUCACACAAUUUAUAGAAAAAGUUAAAACAUUAUUCUUGAAUUGAAGCAAACCUCAAGAAUCUUCAAUGCUCUCUCCAAAACAGUAAAGAAUGAACUAAAAUCCCUACUAACCCUAAAAUGUAAAAAGACAAACUAGUCACACGGCAUACCCAUAUAUAUUGGCCAAAAUAUUAAAAAAAAAAAAAAAAAAAAAAAAGUCCAUGAAUUUUCUAAAAAUAACAUUAUAUCUUUGAAUAUUGAAUCAUUCAAAUUCUUCUUGGGUAUAUAGUAGAUGCUUGGGAGGUCUAAAGAUUGAAAAGUUUGUAGGAUUUGAAGGACAUAUUUCAGAGCUGGGGGAGCCAAGUUCGGUUUCAAAACGUGGAGUUCAAAAUAUUAGAACUAAAAAUUUGGAGGAGUUUGAUGGAUUCCAUAUUGAUAUCAUUUAAUUCCUAUUGGCGGCCCAUUUGAAAAAGAGCAGAAAAAAUGUGGUUGUCGGGUUGAGAGAGGCUGGGUAGGCGUUGUUGGGCUUGAAGGGUCCCGGCCCGUUGUCCAUCCACCGAAGAGAGCGGGAGGUGAACGCUGCUCUGUGAAACCAGCCUCACGCGGUGCCCUCCAGCUUUAGGAACCCAAACACCCAGGCCUUAGCCCGAAUAUCGGGGCACAACUCCCUACUUGGAACGGGCAAGCCAGUUAAAUCACCCCACCAAGCCCUACCAACCCAGCCAGGCCAAUCUCCAACCACACUAACGCCCUCGCUUGAGUUACAAGCUCGCGCUGCUGAGCUCGGCGAUUUGUUGUUUACACCACAGGUAUUUUAAAGAAUUGUUUUCUUAUGUUUAUUUCCGAUGUGGGACGGCUUAGAGAAUUGCUGACUCAUUCACUCAAUCCUCGCCACAAUAGGGAAGCCAAAAGAGGGUAAGAUAUGCUACCUUUCUUUAACUUUGCUUACAAGAUUGAAAGCAAUUAUCUUCCCACAUGUGUGGUCUAUAUUAGGAAUUAUGGGGAAGAGUCUGUGUGGAUUGGCGUCAUUCCUCUUGAUUAAAGCAUUCUCCAUCCCCUCGAUGCAAGGUGUUUUGGUAAUCAAAACAUACUUCUCCAAUACUGG